AUGCCCUGGGAAAGUGUAGAUCUCUAAAAAGACUUUCAUUGUCUAUUAAUAGGCUACAGGGAGCCAUACCAAAUUCUAUUGCAAACCUGUCCAGCACUCUUACAUAUCUGCUAAUGUCUGAAAACAGUCUAUCAGGAACAGUUCCCCCACGUAUUGGAAAAUUUAGUUCCUUAAUUCAACUAUCACUAGAUCAAAACAAUCUUACCGGUACAAUUGAAGAAUGGGUCGGAAAUAUGACAAAACUAGAACGUUUGAAUCUCCAAUCAAACAGCUUUGUCGGGAUAAUUCCACCUUCCAUUGGCCAACUUAUACGGUUGAAAUAUUUAUUUCUUGAUGAAAAUCAAUUCACUGGGUUUAUACCACCUAGCUUUGGAAACCUUAAAUCAUUGUUGCAGCUGCACCUUAGCUACAACAAUUUCAAAGGGGGCGUACCAUAGAGUUUUUGGAAAUCUUAUGAAUCUCAUACAUUUGGACCUUAGUAAUAACAAUCUACAAGGUGGGAUACCCUAGGAGAUUGGUAACCAAAAACAACUUGACAUCCUCCUCCUGUCAUCAAAUAAACGAACUGGAGAAUUUCCAGCUACUUUAGGCCAAUAUCCAGUCUUCACUAACCAUCAAAUGGACCUUGCAUGGAAACACUAAAUCAUUCCCAUAACAACUUGUCAGGUCACAACCCUUUGGCUCUAAGUGAUCUACAGUUUCUUAGUGUGCUAGACCUUUCAUAUAAUCAUCUCGAAGAAGUACCAAGAAAGGGAGUAUUUGAAAAUGCUAUAGCUGUUUAUCUUGACAGCAAUUGUGGACUUUGUGGAGGAGCAAAGGAUCUCCAUAUGCCUUUGUGCCAUAUUGAUUCACCAAGAACAGAGAAUCGGUACUAUUUGGUCAAAGCAUUGAUACCACUGUUUUCCUUCAUGUCAACCCUACUGUUGAUUUACUUCAGAAGAAGGGAUCAAGAAGGGCAUAUUUAUGGCUGCCAACCUUUGGGAAAAAAAUUCCCUAAUGUUUCUUACAGGAGUCUAGCUCAGGACACAGGGAACUUCUCUGAGUCUAACUUGAUUGGAUAUGGAGGCUGCAGUUUAGUCUAUAAAGGGAGGUUAGUCCAAGUUAAAAUGGAGGUGGCUAUCAAGAUUCUUGACACUGAAGAGCAAGAUGCGGAGAAAAGCUUUCUAGUAGAGUGUGAACUUCGGAGAAGUAUUCGCCACCGAAAUAUUCUACCUCUCAUAACCACAUGCUCCACAAUUGACAAUAAAGGCAAUACCUUCAAAGCUCUAAUUUAUGAAUUUAUGCCUAAUGGAAACAUGGACACUUGGCUGCAUUAUCAAGGGGACGGCAGAACUCCAGAAUGUUUAGGCUUAUCUCAAAGAAUAAAUACAGCUAUUAACAUAGCCGAUGCAUUGGCCUACUUACACAAUGACACUGGAAGGCCCAUUGUCCAUUGUGAUUUAAAGCCUAGUAAUAUCCUGCUAGAUGUUCAUAUGAAUGCUUACUUGGGUGAUUUUGGCGUCGCAAGGUUACAUAUUGAUUCUAAGUUGAGAUCAGUUGGCGAUUCAAGCUCAGCCUGUUCAACGAGUGCAAAAGGAACUAUAGGGUAUAUGGCUCUAGGUAGAACUUUAUCCUUCUAGGAUUUUUACAAAUUAUAUUAACAUGAACCAUAUUUUGCAAGUUGUUAUGCACUGAUUAUCACUUUUAUGUCUAUGAUUAGAGUAUGCAGGAGCUGGUAAUACAUCAACUUUUGGAGAUGUUUAUAGUUUUGUAAUAGUACUUCUUGAGAUGCUGACAGGCAAAAGACCAACAGAUCACAUGUUCAGGAAUGACUCACCAUUAUUAGCUUUGUGUGGAAAGGUACUUUCCCAAUCAGAUACUAGAUGUUGUCGAUACUCAUUUGCUAGAAGAAUCCAAGGCGUUCAUCGAAGCAACUGCGGCGACAGAAAAUCUUAAGAUCUUCCUGUGCUUGUUGUCUUUGCUACGAGUAGCACUUAUUUGUACACGCCAAAACCCAAGAGAACGAAUUAACAUGAGAGAAGUAGCAGCCAGAUUAAGUGCAAUCAAGAUGUCAUACGUGGGACUGUGGGAGGAAGAGUUAAGGGCUAAACUUCGUUCAAGAGACUCAUAAGUUGGGCUUCUCACAGGAGUUGAAGGAAGAAAGAAAAUGGUAAAAGUUUAAGCUUCUCGAUACAAUAGGGACUCUGCUUGUAGAACCAAAUUUGAAGAUUUUUGAAUGCUUUAGUGAAUUGAUUGAGUUAUACAAAAACAGCUUCAUUGGUCAAAUUCCUAUUUCUCUUGGCAAGCUCAUUAGCUUGCGCACUCUAUCCCUUGGGAGAAACAACCCUAGCUUGAAGCAAACGACAACCAAAGCUGGGAAUUCUUUGAUGCGUUGAAAAAUUGUAGCCUUCUACAAUAUCUCAUUCUAGGCAACAACCGACUAUAGGGAGUUAGAACACCUUCGGUUGGUAGCCUAACCACCAAUCUUAUAGUAUUACAAUUAAAUUGGAACAACCUUUCGGGAAUAGUUUCGCCAAGAAUACGAAACCUUUCCGGUUUAAUUCAACUAGGAUUAAGCUACAACAAUUUUACUGAACAAAUGAAUAAUGGAUUGGAGGAACUCUUAAACAUAUCUAGCUAUAUCCAUUGGAACAACUUUGAUGGGCCAAUUAUUCUCUACGACGUAUUACUCAGUUAGAAAGACUCUUACUACCAGAAAGUGAAUUUGAUGGUUCAAUACCACGUAUAGCUUAGGAGACCCUCAACAACUUUCCUGGUUGGGCCUUAGUAAUAACAAUCUUCAAGGAAACAUACCUCCCCAGCUUGGCAGCCUUAAAAAACUCACUGAUCUUCAUCUUCAAUCAAGCAAACCCACUAGGCCCCAUAGACUGCCAAGUGAGCUUCUGUCCCGUGAUCUUUUUUCCAGAAACUCCUUUAUGUCUGUGUUCUGUUGGUUAUCAGACUGCUUUGCUGAUGUUGCUUCUCCAUACAAAUCAUAUAUUCAUAUCCAAGAGGAAAUAUCAAAAAUGGAGUAUUUGCAUAUGCGACAGCGCUGUUUCACUAGAUAGCUAUUUAGGACUCUGUGGAGGAGUUACUAAUCAUCUGAAUAUGCUCUCAUGUCCAGCGGUUUCCCAGAGAAUACAAAGCCGAUAUUUUUCUAAUAAGAGUACUGAUCCAAGUAUUUGGCUUCAUGUCAAUUAUGUUGUUGAUCUGUACAUUGACGGACAAGAAGGUUCCAAGUAAAAUAUAUUUAUUGUUGCAGCAUUCAUUUGGCAAGUAGUUCCUACAAAGAUCUAGCUCAAGAGACAGCAAACUUUUUUCUGGAUCGAACCUACUUAGGAGAGGAAGCUAUGGCUCUGCGAUUGCUAUCUCUAGUGCAGAUCGCUCUUUCUUGCACUCGUGUAUUCCCAAGAGAAACAAUAUUGAACAUGAGAGAAGUUGCCAGUAAGUUGCAAUCAAUCAGAAUGACAUACGUGGGAUCGACCAAGAGAAAACAAGUCCUGAUUCAUAUUUAGUAGAGUAUUUUACAAUGUGACAGGAAUAUUCUGUAGGCAGUUUAGGUUCUCUUUGAAUGCAAUGGGCACAAAGUUGGUAAUUCAGCCUAUGAUUUCGCAUGUUAAAAAAGAACAAGAUACCCUGCUACUGCUAAGCUGCAGCCUGUUGGUGGUGAAUGAUGAACAGUGUCCAAUACCAUCAUAUUAAGAUUUGGCUUUUGAGCAUUUGGAAAAUUGGAUUUGAUAAAGUAUCAGUAAGUUGACAAAGUAUUCAGAUCGCUUCUAUGGUAGCGUGUGACUGUAACACUGAGUGGUGUUUUAAACCGACGUUACAUGGAUACGUCAGGGAGGUGCCGUAUCCUGUAUUGUAUACGUAUCCAUAUCGGAUACGGCCAGGAUACGUGAUGGAUAAAUAUAGUAAAUGUUGAUACGUGGGCCCACACGUAUCGGGCUGAUUUUGCGAUACGGCCUAGUCCAAAUCCACCUCUUAUCCACACACCUGCUACCUACUCGCUACAGCCCCCACCCCGACAUCCUCACGCAUUGCGCUGCCGGCCCCUCGCUCCCCCGCACGGUGGUCACAUGAGCGCCUCCACCUGCUGGAGGGGGCACCAGGCCGGCGUCCGCCAGAGAAGGACCUCUGCCAGGGGACGCUCCGUAGCUCUGAUUUGCCUGCGAAGAAGCUCUGCAGCUCUGACAACCAAGCUCACGACGGAACUAAUUGCCAAGGCGGCGACAUUCUGUGAGUUUCUUCCUCAUCAGCUUGUUUGGUGGCUCUUCCCUUUCUCGAUCUACAUUUGUUCUUCGGUUCUUGAUAUUUUGCUGCUCAAUUUUCCGAUUCCCUUCCUCAUCCUAAUCUUUCGCCAACAGAUAGCAGCACCAAAUUCGAGCGUGCUAGUUCUACUUUUUCUUUGCCUACCGGCUAACGCUCCUCUUUCAAGCAAUAACGAUAAGAAGAACAAGAGUGGAUCCGACCUGCUUCACCAAUUGACAAAUUUUUAGCAUUGCACCUGGUUAUUGUUGUAAAAUUUGUUAUGCAUUAUUUUUAUAUAUUAAAAAAUUGACUAAAUGUAUCGGCGUAUCGUAUUGUUUGGAAAAAUCACGUAUUUGCGUAUCUGUAUCCGUCCGAUACUUUAUGAUAAAUGGAACGACGCAGCUAAUCGACCGCAAGUCCGCAAUCUAGCUAACAACCGCUCGGAUCCCUAAUCCGAACCUCAAACUACAGUCACUCAAAAAGUUAAGGUCGACGAGAUGCUGUGCAUACCGUUAGUGCGGCCGCUGGUCAGCCGCCUGCUUCGCCGUCCGCCGCUGCCCGCAACUGCGACUGCUCCACGCUCUGUCCCAGACGACGCGCGCCGCCUGCGCUCGCGUAGUGGCCGAUUUCUUCCGCAACGGCGCGGUGCCGCCGCGGUGGGACCGUGGGAACCGCUUCGUCGCUUUGUGACCGGUGAGAUUUUGCCAGUCUGUAGCCGUCGUUGGGCAAGAAGGCCGACGAGGCUUUGUUGGCUGGGCCGUUUUUGUUUUUGGGCCAUGGCACGAUGACCCAGUCCGCUCUUCUUUGGAUCUGUUCAUGUCGUGCACACAACAGGUGGCGAAUCAGUUCCAACCUUUUUGUUAGCCUCUUGCUUGCCUCAAGAUUUCCAGGAAUUAAUUCUGGCCCUGGGAUAUAGUAGAAAAUUGGUGCUUAAUGGUGACGAAAUUUCCAGGAAUUAAGGGAGCUCCUGCUCUCAAUCUCCAAGUUCAAUCACUCGAAACAAACAAGCCAUAGAACAUGCAAGGUUAUUCAGCUUCUGCACAUUACCAUAUACGUACUUAUGAACAAUGUUAUCUGAAUACAACAACGUCAGGAGUGCAACUUCUUGUUAAGUCAAAUAAUAACAUUGAUUACUUCACCACAUGCUAAUGUAGCUUCCAAAACAUCGACAAAAAAAUAGUUAAACAUAGCGCAAUACAAUUGUACUGUAGACACAGCUACAGUCGCAAUACAACAAUGUUUAGUUUGGCUUGCACAGAAUUUUUUUCUUGGACGAACGGGCACACAAAACUGUGCACUAUUUCUAUUAAUAUAGAAGGAGUAACAAACGGGCAGCCAUGGAAGGCUCCCUCUCCCUACAUGCUAAAAAAAUGUACAAGUGUAAAAGACUAAAACUGAACAGAAAAUUUGGAUCUAUACACUUCUAGGAUGGUUUAAAUUCACAAAGUUCUUUCUUCAAAGAAUUUAUCCAGAUGCACAACCUUUAACGGACUAGCACAAUAAAACACGAGGUUGUAUAUUUCCUUAAGACAUGAAAGAACGUGGUGUCAUGAAAGAAUUUGCAUCCUCAAACAGAACAAAUGAUGCAUGGAUGUAACUCAUCCUCAGAUCUAGUGUCGCUCAAAUUGAUUGGGGAGGUGGUGACUACGCUUUCGGGCUGCGGCUAACCCUGCUACCCCAUUGGACGAUGCGCUGGCUCCAGAAUGCAAACCAUUAUUGGUGAUACAGUGGUUUCCGUGUGAGCUUUUUUUUUCGGAGCCCUUAUGAACAUGUAGGUGAGGGAAUCAAAGGACGUAGCACAUAGGGGUCGCUCAUGGUUUUGGCGUCGUGUCCGGCGGCCAAAUACAUUCCGUUGCGUGACCACCCUGCGCGAGACGACACUGCACAAGCGGACGCGGCGGCCUCAUGACUCAUGCGUGCAAUGAUCGUUGCACCUCGUUCCCUUGCCGUCGGGAUGCGUGUGAUGAUCGUGACUACGGUUUCUCGCAUACUUCCUCCGUUUCAAAAUGUAGAUUUUUAAUUUUUUUAAGUACAUAGAUUUUACUAUAUAUCUAGACAUUACCGUAUAUUUAAGUGCACAGUAAAAUUUAUGAAAUUAGAAAAAAUCAAAACGAUCUACAUUUUGGAACGGAGGGAGUGGAGAUAGAUGCUGCUAUGCUGCCGCAUGUGCGACGAAGCUAGCUUAUGUACACAGUUUACCCUGUAGCAUAGAUCUCUGGUCAGUAGAUAGAUGUUUUGUUCACGAUUCCCUUAAUUACUGCAAGUGGUGCACAAAUUACGACUAGCGCCCAUAAACCUUCAACAAGAUGCAAGCUGUAUCCGGCAUACCAGGGUGGAGAAUGGCCCUUAUACAGUCGUACUGCUGUACAACCACUGAUUUCACAAUUCAGGACUCACGUCCUAUACUCCAAGUGCCUGAUUUUUUCCUUACCUUUUACUUUUAUUCCAGUCGCCAGCAAGUUAACGGCAGCGGCUCUCUGGUGGAACUUGCCGGGUGGUGGCAAGCCUGGCUGUGAGGGCAGGACCGCAGGAAGGCAGGGCUAGGGAUGCGGGGCGGGUUUUUUUGGCCGCGAACCUGCUGGGUGAGCCCGUACCGUGAAUCCACGUAACCCGCGUAAUUGCAGCGGUCCAAGCGGGCAUGCCCGCCGUACUCAACGGCGCCGCAAGCGUCAUUCAUACGAGCGUGAAAAUUCUUAUCUUCUCCUAAUAGUACAACAGGCCGUCCCUAGUCACUGCUUUGACUUUUUAUCAACCAGCGGCUGGUAUGUUGCUUAUAUAUGGAGCCACGGCAACUUAUGUAACUAGAUUUUGUGUUUGUUGAAGAUUUUUUUACCUCACGAUCUUGUAAUAAGUGUGCACAUGAAUUAGCUCGAUCUAGUUUGAGUUGGGACUCGGAUCAGUCAUGUGUUUGGCUUAAUCCCCUACCGGAAUUUGUAAAGUUAUUAGCAGUUCAUAAUUUUCCUGAACCACAGACAAAACGAUUUGUAGUGAUGCCCAUUGUUUAGCGACGGGCGAAAUUACCACCUGCACCUACAAAACGUGGGGAGGAGGAUUACUGUAGCAUCCGCACCGCCCCUGGAGAAACAUUUGCAGGGACGGGUCACGAGGACCCGCCCCUAGAAAUGGGCACUAUUUCCAAGGGUGGGUGAUGCCGAUACGUCGCCAAGAAUUUUUUACAACAAAAAGAAAAAUAAUUUGCAGGGAUGGGUGAUGGCGUCAUCCGUCCCUAAAAAUCUUUUCUAGGAGUAGGUGAUGGUGUCACCCGCCCCUUUCCCAGGGCAGGUGACUGCUAAUGCCUCCUAUAUAAGGCAGUCCGCACCGGGGACUUAGCCAAAAAUUCACAGAAGCGCGCGGGACGUCGUUAGGCUGCCGAAUUUUCACUUCCCUCCCCCGAUCUGCCGCCCCCUCCCCCAUGGGCUCCACCACCGCAGUGCCUCCCCUUCCCCCCGGGCCACCGCGCCACGCCUCCUCCCCUCCCUCACGGCGCCUUCCUGUCGCGGCGCCUCCCCUCCCCGCUGCCUCCACCGCUGGGCCAUAGCGCUGAGCCUCCUCCCCUCCUCCCGUGGUGCCUUCCCAUUGCGGUGCCUCCUCUCCCCGCGUCUCCCCUCCUGUGCCGCCUCCACCACCAUGCCUCCCUUUCCACGGGCUACCGCCAUAGCGCCUCCCUCCCCCGCGCGCCUCCCUUCCCCGCGGUGCCUCCGUCCACGACCGUCAGUUUCUUAAUUUUAUUUUAUUUUCUUUUUAUUUUUUUAUUUUGAUUUUAUUUUAACUAUGAGCCGUACUCUCUCCGUCCCAAAUUACAAGUUAUUUUGGCCUUUUUAGAUUCAUAGACUUUGUUAUGCACUAAGAUAUACACUAUAUCUAGAUGCAUAAUAAUAUCUAUGCAUCUAGAAAAGCCAAAACGACCUAUAAUUUGGGAUGGAGGAAGUAGUACUUAGUGUAAAACAACAAUUACAAAUUUCUUCCAUUAUCUUAGACAAUCUUUUAUCCUUAGCAUUUCGUGAAUUAUGAUGUUUUACGGCGCAAUUAUUAUUAAAGUUGAUGUUUGUGGAAUAAUCUAUCUUAUUACAAUUUUAUUUGGAUAGUUUGUGCUAAGUAUGGCAAAUAGACAUUCUUUUCGCCACGGUGGUGGCGGUCGUGGAAGUGGCAGGGAACACUACAUUUUCGAGGAGCCACCGUUGGUUCGUCCUCCGGGAAUUCACUUCCCUAAUCGCGUCAUUGACUUGCCUACCGACGAUCGAAGUAAAGGAGCAAUUUCCAAUAUAGUAAUUCCUAAUUUUAUUACACAUGCAUAUAGUUCCCAAUAUAGUAAUAUUAUUUCCUUCUUGUAAUUGGUUGUUUUAUUACACAUUAAUAAUUUCUUUUUACUUACAUACAAUAUAGCUUAUGGACCCUAUUAGAUGGCUCAAAGAUGUUGUCGAAGCUCUAGAUGGUACCACUCCUUUAGUGUAAUCCGAGGUUGGUGGUGCAAGUAAUUUUAUAAGACUAAAGAUCUCUUUUGAAGUACCUGUUCGAGGAGGAUAGGCCAACUUGAUGCGACGACCAGGAUAGGCUAUUCCGAUGGUAUCAAUUGUCGCAUGAGGUAAAGAAGCAGCUUGACUUUUGAAAAGCCCGUCGUAAAGGCAUGCCUACAACAACUGGAUAAUGGGUACUUUAUGCCAGGCUUCUUAUAUUUUCGAAUAAAGACGCUCGAGGAGAGAGAAAGCAAUGUGACUAUGACUACUGUGAGGUUUUAUCAGCUGAAUCAACAUGACAUGGUAUGUAAUAUAUCUAUUCAUUCUUACAUCUUUAGUUAUGUUACAUCUCUCAACUUUCAUCACAUUAUUUUUAUUUUUAGGAUAUCUUUGGUCAAAUAUUUGCGGCAAUGAGAUUUCAUACGAUUCUAGCUCAAGUCUUAGAUGUGUUGAAUUAUAGUUACAUCGAUGGAAACUUGAUACGCACUAGAGAUUUUAAGCUCCAGGCUCAUCUCACUUUCUACAGGCCAUAUGAUUUUACCUCUCCAUUGUUCGAGAUUUAUGGUAGUGUAUGUGAUCAUCCAUACGAAGCGAUAGAGAGUGCACUAAUUCAUGCUCUAGUUUAUAUUGAUGAAGUUCUAGGCUUUAAGAUUAGAGACUUAAACUAUAUUUCAUAUCUAUGAAGCGAAGCUAAGUAUGAAAUAUGUAGCAUGCAUGGAUGCUCUACCCUUUUCUUAUGAAUUUGAACUUGUUCUGUCUAAGACCAAAGUAUUUAUGCAUGAACUUGCAUUAUGAGACUGGUUAUAUAUAUUCUGUUGCAUAUACAAUGUUCUGUGAGUGUUGGAUCUGAAUGGGUUGAUACAUGGGAGAAUCACAUUUUAAAAAUUUGGCGCAAAAAUAGUACAAAAUUUUGGCGGGAACGACAUUUCCAGCGGCGGGUGAUACCAUCACCCGCCUAGUUUGUAAGGGCGGUUCAUGACAUCACCCGCCCUUGAAAAUGUCUUUACAGGGUGGAUCUAUUACACGCUCUUGCAAACAGCUACUUUUAACUGCGAAAAGCAGGAACGGAUAGCAUGCCCGCCUUUACAAAUGCUAUUUCAACCAUCCUUGGAAACCGUUUUUUAUAGUGAUAAAUAAAAAAAUAUUUUUUAAAAAAAGUACAAUAGGCCGUCCUAACCCUACGAGCGUCAUGCGUACGAGCGUGAAGCGUCCCUGCCCUCCAAACCCAGUAGCAAUCACUGUGGCUCCUGAGUGCUGCCCCAAGCUUGAAGCUUCGUAUCCGAAAGUUCUCCUUUGGCCGCACUUGGCAUUGUCCUGCGACCCUGUCUCCCAGUCUGGCAGACCGCCACUGCCUGGCUCGAGCACGGUACCACCAUUCAAGUGAAGCAUUAGUGGUCUCCGUUUCAGCCAUUCUCGAGACCAUCCGAACAGUUAAAUUAGGUCAGGCAUAAGAGGAUAUCAAACGCCUUCCUGGAUCGCUGGGCUUCGUGCCGAAGCCAGCUAGCUACACACCUUUGGCAUCGUCGGGGGCUCAUCCCUGCACAAGAUAGUCGUGCCGUUCGAUCACCAUCCCACGUUGGCAGCCUGGCAGGACGCCCGUGAGGCGAUGAGUCGUUACGCGAGCUUAGACAGGUUAAGUAACUAUAGUAACCUUCUACUGCUUUAACUAACUGAUAAUCACUUCGAAGGAAGAAUACCAGAUUCUAUUCACUAGUAGAGAAUUGGCUUUCGAUCCGCCCCCUUUUGUCCCGGUUUAAAGUUGGCCCGGGACAAAAGGGGGUGCGCCACGGUAGGUAAAAUUGGAGGGGAGAUUUACUCCCGGUUGGUAAUUGCAACCGGGACUAAAGGCCCCACUUUAGUCCCAGUUGCAACGGCUAGCUGGGGGGCGUCGGUGGCGGGACCCUUUUAUCUCAGUUGGAGGAUCCAACCGGGAUAAAAGGUGAACCCUUUUAUCCCGGUUGGAGGCACCAACCGGGAUAAAAAGUUUAGUCCCGGUUGGUGCCUCCAACCGUUGGAGCCUCCAACCGGGACUAAACUUCCAACCAGGACAAAAGGUGUUCCUUUUUGUCUCGGUUGGAGUUUUUAACCGAGAUAAAAACUCAUCCCCAUUAUAUACGGCCAAGACAGAGGACUUUCUUCCUCCUCCAGCCCGAGCCAGUCCAGCACAUUGACAGAGAGAGCUGAGCUUCACCUACUCUCCAGUGGUGCCGAAGCAAGCAAGGAAGGUGCUGCCCGAAGUUUUUUCCCUCAUUUUCGUGGGAAUUUCACUUGGCCAACACAAGUGUUGCGAAGGUUUGCUACUUCAUCCUCGUGUUAUGCUUUGAUUUAUGCUUUGGAGAUGGAAAGAUUAUUUGCUAGAAUGUGAUGAUGAAGUAGAAAAAUGGAGAGGUAUUUUGAGCUAGAAUGUGAGGGAGAUUGAUGUGUCAUAUAUAGUAUGCAUUAUUGCAAUGGUUUAAAAAUGAUGCUACCUUGUCUAGACGGUUUAUCUUAUCAAAUUCAAUAUAGUUUUUUAAAUCCAUACUUGUUGAACUUGCAUACCAUGUUCAUUUCUGCUACGAUGUUCUCCGCCGAGCAGCAACGUAUGUCAAGAAGGAGGUUCGAUUCUACAAGAAAGAGUGGAUACGGACAUCGUGACCGUGUCCCCUUUUCCGUAGCAUCUAACCUCUUUCAUGACGAAGUGCGGUGCUGCCCAGCUGAGGACAUCCUCGCGAAAUGAUCACGGUCUUCAAGUUCAACAACUUCUGUAGUGGUAAGGAAAGAAUUUUUGUACAUAGAUGACUUCUGCUACUUGUUGAACUUGCAUACCGUGUUCAUCUCUCCGAGGAUGUUUUCCGCCGAGCAGCAACGUAUGUCAAGAAGGAGGUUCGAUUCUACGAGAAAGAGUGGAUACGGACAUCGUGACCGUGUCCCCUUUUCCGUAGCAUCUAACCUCUUUCAUGACGAUGUUGGGAUACGAGGUAGGCUACACUAGCGUAAAUCAAAAUUUCUACCGCGUAUAACCAGGAAGAACUGCCGUAUAAGGAUCACGGGAUUACCACUCGACGCACUACUGGUGCGGAAGAUGUAGAUAUGCGUCGAUGCAGUGAAGACGAUCACGUAGUCGUACGUAGUCGAUCAACGUAGUCGUACGUAGUCGAUCACGUCACGUCCAGCAGCUCCCACGUGCAGCAAGAUCGCCUCCGGUGCCGCGGCUCAUCGUGGCUCGUCGAUGGCUCGUCCAAGUGCUGCAGGCGCAACACCUCCAAGGUAUCCACACGUGCAGGGAGGAAGCGUCGCAAGCUGGACUGCUAGAUCCGCGAGUUGCAACAGGCGAGGGCGUGGGAGGCGCGGCAGAUGUGUUUCGCCAAAAGGUGUAAACCCUAGGGCGCCCCCACCCCUCUAUUUAUAGAGGUUCCUGACGGGCCUCUGGAUCCGAGGCCCAUUAGUACUUCUAAAACUAAUCCAACUCGGAUCUGAUCCGAAUUGGGCUUCCAGCCCCUUAAGUGUGUGACCCUAUGGGUUCGGAUACGUAUAGACAUGGCCCGAGUACUCCUACUCGGCCCAAUAGUCGGUAGCGGCCUCUAGCAAGACGUGCCAACUCCUACACGCACACGAAGAUCAUAUCAGACGAACCAUCACAACAUAAUAUACAUGCUAUUCCCUUUGCCUCACGAUAUUUGGUCUAGCUUCAAGCCGACCGCUCUUUCUCGAUCCUGUGAUUCGGAAUCCCUUUGUAGGUUAACUCUUAACCGUACGUAGCAUGGCCAUGCAUUUUCGGAUCCGAUCACUCGAGGGCCCCAGAGAUAUCACUCUCAAUCAGAGAGGGGCAAAUCCUAUCUUGACUGACCAUGUCUCAUAGCAUGCUUCUUGACAAACCCGAAAGCUACCUUUAUAACUACCCUGUUACGGCGUAGCAUUUGAUAGCCCCUAAGUAGGUCGAUCCACAUCUAGAAUACAUGCGACAGUCUCAGGUCUAAGGACAAAGCGUAUAUGUUGUUUAAAGAGAGAACUACUUCUCGUGUUGGGUCAGUCCUAGCACAUGUCUCCACAUGUGUCCACAUUAUCAGUUCAACAUCUCCAUGUCCAUGACUUGUGAAACAUAGUCAUCAACUAAUACAUGUGCUAGUCUAAUAUUCAUGUGUGUCCUCACAUGAACUCCGACUAGGGACAACUUUAGAAUAACCAUACAAGUAAAGAGUUUCACAUACAAUUCACAUAAUUGCAAAUCAAUUCAAGUAGCCUUUAAUGGAUAUUCAAUGAACACAAUAUACAAAUCAUGGAUACAAAUGGAAUAUCAUCAUCUCUAUGAUUGCCUCUAGGGCAUACCUCCAACAGUCUCCCACUUGCACUAGAGUCAAUCUAGAAGGUACCUAAUACCCAUAGCUCUUACAUGCGCAUCAUGCUUAGCCUGCGGGAGUGGUUUUGUCAAUGGAUCAGAAAUGUUCAGAUCCGUGUGUAUUUUGCAUAUCUUGAUCUCACCCCGGUUAACGAAGUCUCGAAUGAGAUGAAAUCGCCGCAUUACGUGUUUGUUCUUCUGGUGGUUCCUUGGCUCCUUUGCUUGCGCAAUUGCCCUAUUAUUAUCACAGUAGAGAUUCAAUGGGCUGGACGCAUUCGGGAACACACCAAGCUCAAUGAGGAAAUUCCUUAUCCAAACACCUUCCUUCGCGGCUUCCAAAGCCGCGAUGUACUCGGCUUCUGUCGUAGAAUCGGCCACCGUCUCCUGCUUGGAACUCUUCCAACUAACAGCACCACCAUUUAGCGUGAACACAAAUCCUGAUUGUGACUUUGAAUCAUCUCUGUCGGUUUGGAAACUAGCAUCGGUGUAACCUGUUACAACGAGCUCCUCCUGACCUCCAUAGACGAGGAACAUAUCUUUAGUCCUUCUCAAGUACUUAAGAAUGUUUUUCACCGCUGUCCAGUGACUCUCACCUGGAUCAGAUUGGUGUCUGCUUGUCAUACUUAGCGCAUAUGAAACAUCUGGGCGAGUACUUAUCAUUGCAUACAUGAUAGAUCCAAUAGCCGAGGCAUAUGGCACUCUACUCAUGCUAUCCCGCUCAUCAGCAGUCGAAGGACACUGAGUCUUGCUGAGAUGUAUGCCAUGUGACAUAGGCAAGAACCCUUUCUUUGCCUCUUCCAUGCUGAACCGCUUCAACACUUUGUCAAUAUAAGUAUCUUGGCUCAAACCUAUAAGCCUUCUCGAUCUAUCUCUAUAGAUCUUAAUGCCCAGAAUAUAUGCCGCUUCCCCUAAGUCCUUCAUCGAAAAACUAUUUUUCAGUGAAGUCUUUACGGACUCAAGCAUAGGAAUGUUAUUUCCAAUCAGUAAUAUGUCAUCCACAUAUAAGAUUAGAAAUACUACAGAGCUCCCACUAACCUUCUUGUAAACACAAGACUCUUCUUCGUUCUUGGUGAAGUCAAACCCUUUGACCACUUCAUCAAAACGAAUGUUCCAACUCCUAGAUGCUUACUUCAAUCCAUAAAUGGAUCUCUGAAGCUUGCAUACCUUUCCAGCAUUUUUCGGAUCGAUAAAACCCUCGGGCUGUAUCAUAUACACGUCCUCAGCUAGGUUUCCAUUCAGGAAAGCUGUCUUGACAUCCAUCUGCCAUAUCUCAUAAUCGAAAUAUGCAGCUAUAGCUAGAAUAAUCCAAAUGGACUUAAGCAUCACUACGGGCGAGAAGGUCUCGUCGUAGUCAACUCCUUGAACUUGUCAAAAACCUUUUGCGACAAGUCGUGCUUUAUAGAUGUGAACAUUUCCAUCCAUGUCCUUUUUCUUCUUAUAGAUCCACUUGCACUCUAUGGCUUUAACACCAUCAGGUGGGUCAACCAAGUUCCAAACUUGAUUGUCUCCCAUGGACUCUAUUUCGGAUUGCAUGGCACUCUGCCAUUUUUCGGAGUCUGGGUCCAUCAUUGCUUCUGCAUAUGUCGCAGGCUCAUCAUUGUCCAACAAUAAUAUUUCCCGCAUUUCGCGGAGCCUUGCCGACCUUCAUGGUUGUGGCGGUGCUUCUCUUGCCAUGGGUAUCUCAACUUGUUCUGCUACGUCAGCAUCACUCAUUGGUUCUUGCCCGAUUGGCUCAUCUUGAACUUCUUCAAGAUGCACUGUCUUUCCACUCUUUUCUCCUUUGAGAAACUCUUUCUCUAGGAAAACCCUGUUCCGAGCGACAAACACUUUGCCUUCUGAUCGGUUGUAGAAAUAAUAUCCCAAAGUUUCCUUUGGAUAUCCCACGAAAAUGCACUUAUCCGACUUGGGUGUGAUCUUGUCCGACUGAAGUCGCUUGACAAACACUUCACAUCCCCAAAUCUUUAGAAAAGACAAACUAGGAACCUUUCCAGUCCAUAUCUCAUAUGGUGUCUUAACUACGGAUUUAGAUGGUACCCUAUUAAGUGUGAAAGCUGCUGUUUCUAGAGCGUAUCCCCAAAAUGACAAUGGUAGGUCCGAAUGGCUCAUCAUUGAUCGAACCAUGUCUAACAAAGUUCGAUUACGUCGCUCGGACACACCGUUUCUCUGAGGUGUUCCAGGCGGCGUAAGUUGUGGAACAAUUCCGCAACUCUUUAGAUGAUUGCUAAACUCGUGGCUCAAAUACUCGCCUCCACGAUCAGAUUGUAAGGCCUUAAUUUUCUUGCCACGCUGAUUUUCAACUUCAUUCUGAAAUUCCUUGAACUUUUCAAAGGUUUCAGACUUGUGCCUCAUCAAGUAGACAUAGCCAUAUCUACUAAAAUCAUCAGUGAAAGUUAUGAAGUAUUGGAAUCCUCCUCUAGCCGUCAUGCUCAUUGGUCCGCAUACAUCACUAUGUACGAGUUCCAACAAGUCUACUGCUCUCUCAGGAAAUCCUGUGAAAGGCGUCUUGGUCAUCUUGCCUAGCAAGCAAGCCUCACAUGUCUCGUAUGAUUCAAAAUCAAACGAAGUUAGAAGUCCAUCAGAAUGGAGCUUCUUCAUGCGCUUUUCACUUAUAUGACCCAAACGACAAUGCCACAAGUAGGUAGGACUCAAAUCAUUAGGCCGAGGCCUUUUAGCACUUACAUUACAGACAGGUGAACCAUCAAGAUUUAAAACAAAUAAUCCAUUCACAAUGGGUGCAAAAGCCAUAAACAUAUUAUUCUUAGAGAUCACACAACCAUUGUUUUCACUCGCAAAUGAAUAACCAUCCUUCAUCAAACAUGAAGGAGACAAAAUGUUUCGACUUAAACUAGGAACAAAAUAACAAUUAUUCAACUCCAUAAUAAAUCCUGACGGGAGGUGGAGUUGCAUCGUCCCGACGGUCAACGCAGCAACUCUUGCAUUAUUGCCCACGCGGAAAUCAACUUCUCCUCUUUCCACGCUUCUACUUCUUAUCAUUCCCUGCAUUGAAUUGCAAAUAUGAGCAACCGAUCCGGUAUCAAAUACCCAAGAAUUAAUAACUGUAUCAGUGAGAAAUAUGUUGUCUAUAACAUUAACAACAAGCGUACCUGAGGUAGAAGUACUCUUACUUCCGCCGUUCUUCAACGAAGCUAGGUACUGCUUGCAGUUUCUCUUCCAGUGACCAAGUUCAUGACAGUAAAAGCACUCUUUAUCUGGAGCAGGUCCAGCUUUAGCCUUGGGCGCUGGGUUUGGCUUGGACACUCCAGCCUUGCCCUUCUUCUUCCAAGAAUUGCCCUUCUUCUUAAAGGUAGGCUUGUUCUGUACAGCCAUCACAUGGCUGGUACUAGCGCUUUUCUUAAUGUCUACCUAUGCUGUCUUGAGCAUACCACACAGUUCAUUCAGACCCUUCUCCGUCCCAUGCAUAUGGUAGUUCGAGAUGAAGUUCCCAUAGCUAGGCGGAAGAGAUGAAAGAAUGAAGUCAGUGGCCAAAUCUUUGCCCAUUGGGAAGCCCAGCUUCUCCAAUCGCUGAGUGUAACCAACCAUCUUGAUUACAUGUGGUCCUACUGCUGCGCCUUCUGCUAACUUGCACUCCAGAAAGGCUUUGGACACAUUGAACCUUUCGGUCCUAGCCUGUGUCUGGAACAUGUCCUUGAGCGCCAUGAUCAUAUCGUGUGCCUCAUGAUUUGUUUCGAACUGCAUCUGCAGCUCGGGUUCCAUGCAAGCAAGCAUAAGGCAGCUUACCUCAAGAUUAGCAUCAAAUGCCUUCUUGUAAGCAGCCUUAACGGCAGCAGAUGCAUCAUCAGCAGAUACUGGUGGUAGUGGGGUGUCUAGAACAUCUUCCUUUUUCUCAGCCCUGAGAACAAUUCUUAGGUUAUGGAUCCAAUCCGAGUAGUUUGUUCCAUUCAACUUGUCCUUCUCAAGGACCGAACGCAAAGCAAACGAUGCGGUGGUGUUGCUAGGUGCCAUUUAAUCUACAACAAAAGUAAUGCAAAAUACACUAAGACAAACGUAUCCAUGAUAGAGCAAAUUACAUUAAACUAUUUUAACAGAAUCUACUCCCACUAAAAUCAAUAUCGCUCUAUUGAAACUUAGUGAUUCAGGAUCCACAACUAACAAGUCUACUAGUGAGCUUUAGCAUCACCGCUAGCAAACGAGGUAGAUCGGUAAGCAACUUUUGCUAAUCAUAUCACAUAUGACUCCUGUUGUUGGGUGACAUCUCUAUGUCUCGGCACCCAACCUUUAUGCCCCAAGGUCCUUAACCAUUAAGAUAACCUUGUUAAGCAAACCAACCCUUAUGCGUGUAAGUGUCCGACACAAACCCGUCUAGUCAAGGAAAACUAGUGGCACCCUAAUUUCAUAGACCCACCACUAAUUGUACAAGACAUGGGACGGUGCAAGUUUUAGUUGGGAGGGCAUACUAACUUAAACUUUGUGAGGGAUCGUUCUACUUCUAACAUCACAGCAUGCAGAAAGUAAAACAUAAACAGAAUAGCAUUCACACAGUUGUGACACAGUAUGGCCCGUUUCCAUAUGGUGAUCUCCAUCUCCAUGUUCCAUGUGCGCCAUCCUCCUGGUGAAGAUUCCUCCAAGAACUAGAGCAUGCUAUUACGCCUAAUAGCUAGUAAAGAAUCUAGUAAUGAAGAUUACAUAGUUGCUUGGAUCAUCACAGAUUGGUACGCAGACCAUUAAAUACAUUAAGGUGACAACACAUAUGGCUCAUGCCGUGUUGCCGUAUGCGCGACACGCAGGUCACGAAUGAGUUACACACAUGCAUCACAUACACAAGGGGGCCAUACUGAUCACAAGAUACAUACAUACAUCCUGCAAAACAGAGUUAGACGCCCUAACGUUCCAAACUUCGGAUGCCCGAAACUCCAUCUUCCAAGCCGAAUUUGGGAAAUCUAAUUUCACCAAAAACGACAAAGCGUUGAAUUUCAUGUGUAACUUUUUCUGUAGAUCAAUUUUCGUAUAAAAAUCGCCCCGAUCCGAGAUCGUACCGAAAAGUUACGGCUGAUUUACCGAAGCAUACGCAUACGGCAAAAUCCCAACCUCGGCAGUAGAUCCCAUCUACUAUUGCACAUCUAAUGCGCCUGGCGUAUGACCCUGGAUCUCGAUUCGACCAAUCAUAUUGAUCUUCGCUCACUGCAACUGGAUUUACGUGUAUCACUUAACUCCGAUGGCGGAAACCGACCGGUAGGAGUAUGUCGUUACACUACCAUUGUAGCAAGGGCACGAAACCAGGACAUAGAUCAAACAGAAAACUCGCAUAUCUCCAUAUGCACACAUCCCGAAUCCAAAACUAAGCAGCUACGGCUCUUGAUACCACUGUUGGGAUACAAGGUAGGCUACACUAGCGUAAAUCAAAAUUUCUACCACGUAUAACCAGGAAGAACUGCCGUAUAAGGAUCACGGGAUUACCACUCGACGCACUACUGGUGCGGAAGAUGUAGAUAUGCGUCGAUGCAGUGAAGACGAUCACGUAGUCGUACGUAGUGGAUCAACGUAGUCGAUCACGUCACGUCCAGCAGCUCCCACGUGCAGCAAGAUCGCCUCCGGUGCCGCGGCUCGUCGUCGGCUCGUCAUGGCUCGUCGAUGGCUCAUCCAAGUGCUGCAGGCGCAACACCUCCAAGGUAUCCACACGUGCAGGGAGGAAGCGUCGCAAGUCGGACUGCUAGAUCCGCGAGUUGCAACAGGCGAGGGCGUGGGAGGCGCGGCAGAUGUGUUUCGCCAAAAGGUGUAAACCCUAGGGCGCCCCCACCCCUCUAUUUAUAGAGGUUCCUGACGGGCCUCUGGAUCCGAGGCCCAUUAGUACUUCUAAACCUAAUCCAACUCGGAUCUGAUCCGAAUUGGGCUUCCAGCCCCUUAAGUGUGUGACCCUAUGGGUUCGGAUACGUAUAGACAUGGCCCGAGUACUCCUACUCGGCCCAAUAGUCGGUAGCGGCCUCUAGCAAGACGUGCCAACUCCUACACGCACACGAAGAUCAUAUCAGACGAACCAUCACAACAUAAUAUACAUGCUAUUCCCUUUGCCUCACGAUAUUUGGUCUAGCUUCAAGCCGACCGCUCUUUCUCGAUCCUGUGAUUCGGAAUCCCUUUGUAGGUUAACUCUUAACCGUACGUAGCAUGGCCAUGCAUUUUCGGAUCCGAUCACUCGAGGGCCCCAGAGAUAUCACUCUCAAUCAGAGAGGGGCAAAUCCCAUCUUGACUGACCAUGUCUCAUAGCAUGCUUCUUGACAAACCCGAAAGCUACCUUUAUAACUACCCUGUUACGGCGUAGCGUUUGAUAGCCCCUAAGUAGGUCGAUCCACAUCUAGAAUACAUGCGACAGUCUCAGGUCUAAGGACAAAGUGUAUAUGUUGUUUAAAGAGAGAACUACUUCUCGUGUUGGGUCAGUCCUAGCACAUGUCUCCACAUGUGUCCACAUUAUUAGUUCAACAUCUCCAUGUCCAUGACUUGUGAAACAUAGUCAUCAACUAAUACAUGUGCUAGUCUAAUAUUCAUGUGUGUCCUCACAUGAACUCCGACUAGGGACAACUUUAGAAUAACCAUACAAGUAAAGAGUUUCACAUACAAUUCACAUAAUUGCAAAUCAAUUCAAGUAGCCUUUAAUGGAUAUUCAAUGAACACAAUAUAUAAAUCAUGGAUACAAAUGGAAUAUCAUCAUCUCUAUGAUUGCCUCUAGGGCAUACCUCCAACAGACGAAGUGCGGUGCCGCCCAGUUGAGGACAUCCUCGCGAGAUGAUCACGGUCUUCAAGUUGAACAACUUAUGCAGUGUUAAGAUAAUAAUUUUUGUACAUAGAUGGCUUCUGCUACUGGAGGAAGUGGCGAUGGUGGGGGCGAUCGUGGUUCCUAUUAUGGCAAGGUUCCAAUCAUAGUUGGCCCUCACCAUAAGCCAAAGAAAAAGAGCACGCUAGAAAAAGCAAUGCUUCGUUAUUUGCGGCAACGUCAUGAAGAAGCUGUUGCCGCGGGUCAGGAACCUCCUUUUGGUGGUCGUUAUGCUCCACCCUCAGUCCCGGGUGUUUCACGUCCACUUAGUACUACCGUUUCAGGCGGCACAAAUAAACCUAAGGAUGAGGUGUGGUCAGCGGAACCUUCGUCUUCACCGUCCAAGGAUGCUUAAAGUCCUCCUUGAUAAUAACCAAUGGAUGGCUUGUUGUAUUGUAUCAUGUUGUUUGGGACUUUAAUUUAAAUAUGUGUAUUUGGAUCUUCAUGUUGUUGUAUUGUACCAUGUUGUUUGGAUCUUUAAUCGAUUUUCACGCGUAAUCCAUUGUCAAGUGUAAUCCAUUUUCAUGCGUAAUACGAUGCAGAUGGACCGGCAAUGGAUGUAUAAUGCAGACACGCGGAGCAAGGCGUUUAUUGAUGGCUUGCAUUAUUUUCUCGAAGUGGCAAAAGCGAACAAGCCAGAGAAUGGGUUCGUAUGUUGUCCAUGCUUCCAAUGCAAUAACAGGAAGGAGUAUUCAAAGGAUUCCUGGGGGACUAUUCACAGCCACUUGUUUAAAUACGGUUUUAUGCCUAACUAUUUGGUUUGGACCAAGCACGGUGAACUAGGGGUUGUAGUGGAAGAUGGCGAGGAGGAGGAGGAAGAUCACACCAUUCCGGACUGGGUUGCAGGCCAAGCUUUUGCAGGUACUACAAUGGGCGAGGCUGAUGAAGAUGAGUUUGCGAAAAAUGGCCCUACUGAUGACCUUGGUCAGGUGAUACGAGAUGCAUACAGAGAUUGCGAAACUGAGAAGGAAGCAGCAAAGUUGCAGUGCAUGAUAGAUGAUCACCAAAAAUUGUUGUACCCAGGUUGCCAGCAGGGCCAUAAAAAACUAGGUACGACACUAGAAUUUGUGCAAUGGAAGGCAAAAAAUGGUGUGUCUGAUAAGGCAUUUCAGGGGAUGUUGAACAUUGUCAAGAAGAUUCUCCCCGAGAAUAAUGAAUUACCGUCCACAACAUAUGAAGCUAAACAGAUUAUUUGCCCUCUCGGAUUGGAUGUUCAGAAGAUACACGCAUGCCCUAAUGACUGUAUCCUCUAUCGUGGUGAUGAAUAUGAGAAAUUGGAUGCUUGUCCCGUCUGCGAAGCCCUGCGGUAUAAGAUCAGGCGAGAUGAUCCUGGUGAUGUCGAGGGGCAGUCUCUCAAGAAGAGAGUUCCCGCGAAGGUGAUGUGGUAUUUCCCUAUAAUACCACGCUUGAAGCGCUUGUUCAGGAAAAAGACGAAUGCUAAGUUGAUGCGAUGGCACAAAGAAGACCGUAAGGAAGAUGAGAUGCUGAGACACCCCGCAGAUGGGGCACAGUGGAGAUCAAUUGAUAGAACAUUCCCAGACUUUGAAUGUGAAGCAAGGAACAUAAGGUUUGGUUUAAGCACUGAUGGAUUCAAUCCAUUCGGUGAGUUGAGUAGUGGCCAUAGUACUUGGCCUGUGACCCUUUGUAUGUUCAACCUUCCUCCUUGGCUGUGCAUGAAGCGGAAGUUCAUUAUGAUGCUGGCGCUUAUCCAAGGCCCAAAACAACCCGGCAACGACAUUGACGUGUACCUAAGGCCGUUGGUUGAUGACCUUUUACAGCUCUGGAAGGAAGAAGGUGUACGUGUGUGGGAUGAGGAUAGACAAGAGAUCUUUAAUCUAUGAGCACUGUUGUUCGUAACCAUCAACGAUUGGCCUGCAUUGAGUAACCUUUCAGGACAGACAAAUAAGGAAUAUCGGGCAUGCACCCACUGUUUAGACGACACAGACAGCAUGUACUUGAAGCACUGUAAGAAGGUCGUCUAUAUGGGUCAUCGUCGAUUUCUCCCUGCUCACCACCAGCUGAGAAAGAGCAGGAUGCAUUUCAAAGGGGCGCCAAACCAUCGUAAAAAACCUGCACACCGUAAUGGAAAGCGUGUGUUUGAGAUGAUGAAGGAUGUAAAUGUAGUCUUUGGAAAGGGACUUGGUAGCCAACCUGUUCCGAACGACGAUAACGGACAUGCACCCAUGUGGAAGAAAAAGUCAAUAUUUUGGGAGCUACCUUAUUGGGAAAUCCUAGAGGUUCGCAACGCAAUAGACGUGAUGCACCUGAUGAAGAAUCUUUGCGUGAACGUGCUAGGCUUCAUGGGUGUUUAUGGAACCUCAAAAGAUACAUUGGAAGCACGACAGGACCUGAAAGCCAUGGGGCAACGAGAUGACCUACAUCCGGAAAAGAGAGAUAAUGGACAGCACUACUUACGUCCUGCCAGUUACACUCUCAGCAAGGAAGAGAAGGAUAGCAUGUUUGAAUGCUUGAAUAGUAUGAAGGUCCCGUCUGGGUACUCCUCGAAUAUAAAGGGAAUAAUAAAUAUGAAACAAAAGAAGUUUACAAAUCUCAAGGCUCAUGACUGCCACAUGUUGAUGACCCAGUUGCUUCCGGUUGCACUGAGGGGUGUUCUACCAGAAAAUGUCCGGUUGCCGCUCGUAAAGCUAUGCGCGUUUCUCAAUGCGAUUUUGCAGAAGGCAAUCGAUCCAUCCAAGCUAUCAAAGCUACAGAACGAUGUGGUGCAAUGUCUUGUCAGUUUUGAGUUGUUAUUUCCACCAUCCUUCUUCAAUAUUAUGACGCACUUACUGGUUCACCUAGUAAAAGAGAUUGGUAUUCUCGGACCUGUAUACCUGCACAAUAUGUGGCCUUUCGAGAGGUUCAUGGCAGUCCUAAAAAACUAUGUUCUUAAUCGUGCCCGUCCAGAAGGAAGCAUCGCCAAGGGAUAUGGAACAGAGGAGGUGAUCGAGUUUUGUGUUGAUUUUAUUGAUUCAAUUGACUCGAUUGGGGUUCCAGCUUCACGCCACGAGGGGAGGCUCCAAGGAAUGGGCACCCUUGGAAGGAAAUCAAGUUUGAGCAAUGAUACUGAUUUGUUCGACAAGGCACACUACACUGUUCUACAACAGUCAUCCUUUGUGUCUCAGUAUAUCGAGCAGCACAGGCAGAUGGUAGGUUCCAAAAACCCGACCAAAUCCGAUGCUUGGCUUACCCGUCAUCACAUGGAAACUUUUCCCUCCUGGUUGCGCCAACAACUUAUGGGUAACUCUGAGAUUCACCCACAACUUGCCUGGUUAGCCAGGGGACCUGCUACCACAAUCGUCAAAUUCCAAGGCUAUGAGAUAAAUGGUUACACAUUUUACACGAGAGCCCAGGACCAGAAAAGCAUGAACCAGAAUAGUGGUGUCCGCAUAGAUGCCAUGGACAGAAAUAAUAGCAAGGAGUCGUAUUAUGGUUUCAUACAGGAGAUAUGGGAACUCGAAUACGGACCGCUGUACAUCCCUCUAUUUCUUUGCAAUUGGGUGAAGCUAACUACCGUCACCAAAGAUCAGUACGGAAUGACAAUAGUAGAUCUGAGCAAGACUGGAUACAGUGAUGACCCAUUCGUACUUGCCAAUGAUGUGCAUCAGGUGUUCUAUGUGAAGGACAUGUGCAGCAAACCCAAGAGGAAUCCAGAAGAGACAUGGGAGCCAAAGUGCCACAUAGUUCUUCCAGGUAAAAGAAAAAUCGUGGGAGUCGAGGAUAAAACAGACCAAUCAGAUGAUUAUGAUCAGUUUGAUGGCAUGCCUCCAUUCGCCGUUGAAGUUGAUCCAAGCAUCCUGCUAUCCAAAUAAGAGGCUCCGUACUUACGCCGCGAUCAUGAUCAAGGAACUUUCGUGAAGAAGAAAUUUUACAACAUUGUAUUGUAAUGCGUUAAAUGUACAUGAUCUUUGUGUAUUAAUUGAUACAAUUUGUAAUUUACCCUAUGUAUGAUUUCAUGUCUUCUUAAAUUUCUUAGGUGAAGAUUUUAUAGAUAAACAUGAACAAUGUUAACCACAAACAAACAUGGAUUUUUUUGCGCAUUGAAAUUAUUUAAUUGAAUAAUUUCUUGAUCACAACAAUGCAGUAAAAUAAAUAUUUUAGAGGCUAAAUGAACUGGUAUAGAAUUCAUGAUUAAUUCAUACUUAUUGUCAAUUUACUCGUUAAUUAAAUAUAUUUUUGCAUGUACAAAAUCUGUGAAGGUUUUGUUUUUCAUCCUGAAAUGCAGUGAAAAGAUAAAAUAAAAUCCAUUUCCAAAAAAUAGGCGGGAGAAGAAAAGUAGGAAAAAAGACCUUUUGUCUCGGGUGCUAACAGCAACCGGGACAAAAGGCCCCCCUUUUAUCCCGGUUGCAAACUGCAACCGGGAUAAAAGGGUACUUUUCGUCUCCCGCCCCGACGUACCCUUUUAUCCCGGUUGCCAACUGCAAUCGGGAUAAAAGGCCCCCCCUUUUAUCCCGGUUGGUGGUGGCACCUGGGAUAAAAGGGUACGCUCCCAGCCCUACCUGGCGGGGGCACCCUUUUGUACCGGGUCCCGUCACCAACCGGGAUAAAAGGCAACCGGGAUAAAAGGCCUUUUAUCCCGGUUGGUGACGGGACCCGGGACAAAAGGCCCUUUUGUCCCGGGUGGCAUUACGAACCGGGAUAAAGGGGGGGGGGGUUAAAAGGCACUGUACUCCCUUCUACCCCCCGCCAGUUACACUUAGCCAAAUUUUCGCCUAGUCCCGCGCGUUCUCCGCCGUCGCCGCCCGUCCGCCUCCCUCGCCGGCCGCCGCCGUCGUCGUCCCCCAUUGCACCGUCGACGUCCCCCAUUGCGCCGUCGUCGUCCCCCGGCCGGCCUGCCUCGAUCCCCUCCUCGUCCGUCGACGCGCCCGGCCCCCGGCCGCCUCGUCGCCUCCGGCCACCGGCUCCAUCCUCGUCGCCGGCUGCAUCCUCGUCGCCCCUCGUCGCCCCUCGUCGCCGUCUCGUCGCCGUCCCACCUACGCCACCCGGCCGCCGCCGUCCCGCCGCCCCGGCCGCCGCCCCGCGCGCGAGAGGUCCGCCGCCGCGCCGGCCGGCAGCGCCGGGAGGGUUUUUUUUUUAAGUUAGAAAAUUAAGUUAUAUUUUUAUGAUAGAUUUUUAAUUUUGAUUGUUAAGCUAGAAAAUUAAGUUAUAUUUUUAAGUUAGAUUUUUUAGUUAGUUUGUUAAGUUAGAUUUUUAAGUUAGAAAAUAAAGUUAGAAAUUCGUAGGAUGCACCGCCGUCCCCUCCGCCGUCCUGCCGCCGUGACCGCCGCCGUCCCGCCGCCCGUCACAACCUAGUAGACACCGCCCGUGGUUCCGGGGAACCGUCCCCGCCUCCGCCGUACCGCCGCCGUGAUCGCCGCCCGUCACAACCUAGUAGGCACCGCCCGUGGUUCCGGGGAACCGUCCCCGCCUCCGUCGUACCGCCGCCCUCAGUGCCGCCGUCACAACCUAGGCAGCGCCCGUGGUUCCAGGGAACCAUCCCCGCCUCCGCCGCCCUGAUCGCCGCCGUUACAACCUAGGCACCGCACGUGGAUAUUGUUAGAAAUUCGUAGAAAUUCAUAGAAAUUCGUAGAAAUUCGUCAAAAUUCGUAGAAAUUCGUAGAAAUUCAUAGAAAUUUGUAGAAAUUCAUAGAAAUUUGUAGAAAUUUGUCAAAAUUCGUAGAAAUUCGUAGAAAUUCGUAGAAAUUUGUAUAAAUAUUCCGGACUUUGUAGGAUUCAUGUUAUUUUAUGAUUUCAUUAUAUACAUUAUGAUUCCGGACUUUGUAGGACUUUGUAGAAAUUUGUAGUAAGAUGAUUUCUAUGACUGUCAUGUAUGAUUCCAUGUAUGUUUCCAUCAAUAGUUGAAAUGGCAGACGAUGAGACCGCAAGGUAUAUCAUGGAGCAGAUAAUCGCUGGUGAUGGUAGUGGCGACAACAUUCCACUAUCAUACAUGGAUGAAGAGGGCACCCAGGCGGACAUGUUCCUCAACAUGUCCGCCGAUGGGAAUGAAGAGCAACAGCCGCAGCAACAACUUGCCGUGGUGGAAGGUUCCGGCGAGGUAUAUGUUGGCGCUAGAAAUCGGUCAACCGAAUCCCAGCGACCGACACACGACCCGGGAGAAUCUGCUUAGCUCCUGUUCGGGUGAAUGCCCUGGUGCAGUUCGCGCAGCGUGCCAGCCAAUCUGACCUGUUGAUUGGCAAGGAAGAAUACGUGUCAGGUCCAGAAAUCACGAUCGGCUAAGUUUCCGAUCGAGAGAAUUUAUCAACGAAUCGGCCGAUUUACUGUAGUAAUGAAAUCGGCUAUAAGACAGCCUGAUCUCUGUAGCCUUGUAGACAAGGAAUUACUAAAGUAAUCGAUACAAAGCUAUGAUAACAACACUAGGAACAGAUCUAAUCGGCAAUAGAUGAAUUUAAUAACAGAAUAUAGAAAGAGCCGAAACUACCGAUUCCUAGCUGGAUAACUGGUGAUAAAGACUAGAAAAAUAGGUAAAACCUAUGGAUCUAGCAAAUAUCGAUAACUAGUGAAUAUAUCUAAACGAAACAACAGCGAUACGCCCGAAGUUAAAGCUUAGAUAUUACUCGAUAAACGGAACUUACAGAAUCGGCCGGAGAUCAAGAUGAUGCAGCCCUGCCAACCCGCAUGAACUCGUGAGAAGAGAAAAGUAAUGGCGAAGUCGCCUGCUUGAAAGUAAGUACGAAGAAAAAGUAGCUUGUUGUAUUGAUUGGUUGAUGAUUACAGAUUUACAAAGGUAGCUAUUUAUAGCCCCAUACAGAUAUCUUCUUAACCGACUAGAAUUCUAUCCCUAAUUCAAACAGAAAACGAAUAUCUACAAGCAUGAUUCGUGCUAGGUUAGUUACUCCACGCUUCGUGGGCUGAUUUCCAGCUCACCCUUCUAUUCCAAGCCCAUACAGGCCCAAUUAACCCAUCCUCCUAAUCGGCCGAUUCCUCAUCGGCAAAAGGCUACCGAUUGGGACUCUGGUAUAUUCGACCCGAAACGAGACAGAAGUCACCGGCCGAUCUCACACUGUAGCACCACUUGGCCGAUUCCCAAUUGUGCUCCUCCGAUUCCCUCUCUUCUUGGCGCCGAUUCUACUAGUGACGAAAUCUGGCGUCAACACAUGCCCCCCAGUUUCGGAGUAAAACAUAGUCUUUUACUUCGAAAUUCUUUAUAACCUCCCUUCCGAAACGGCCGCAGUGAAAAUAUCCCUCCGUUUCGCGGUCUUCCAGCUGAUCAUUGCAAUUUUUCGAAACGGGCGCCCACGACAGCCACUACUCCCGAAAAACUCGAAACGCCGGCGCGGUGAAAAUUCCAUUUUUACCCCCCUUCAGGCAUCCUUUAAAUAGCGCUUCACCCGCACCUCAUCUUCAAGCUCACGUCUCUUUUCCCAGUGCGCGCGCCUUCUUCCUCCUUCAGCAUCUUUCCCUUGCCGCCGAAGCUUCCUAGCUCCACCUCCUGUUACUCUUCCCUCUUCUCUUUCAAUGGCGGCUCCUUCCGGCAGCUCUCCCGCAUGCGAUGUCCCAGAGGUAGCGCCUCCGGCGGUGGUAGCGACAGCCGUCGCUCCAUCCACAGAAGAAGGAGCUUCAUCGGAGAUCCCAAUGGCGAUCCCCAUCACGGCCCCGUUGUCCGCAUCCGCACCGGCAACCACGCCGAUCACUCAGAACUUCAUCCCAGAGGUAAAUACCGAAUCCUUCUCCUAUCGGCAAUUAAUUUACCUUAGAUCUGUUUCUUACUUUUUACACCCCCUUUUCCUUUUUUAGGCAGUUAGGCAUCGCAUUACCAUUCACCUUACGGGAAAUCCCGGCCUUAUUUGUCUCGGACCUAUGGGAAACCCAGAUCCAAUAGAGCUUAUUAAUUUGGAAACCCACAGGAUACCCUUCAAACUGUCUAAUAUGGACUUAGAUCAGUGGCUGGGUACUUUUAGAUCUUGGCCGAAUGAAACCCCAGGUUGGAGGGAGUGGUACCAAUGGAUAGCCGCAUCAAAGAGCGUCUCAUGGGAAGAGCUCAAAAUCGGCCAGUGCAUCAACCUUUCCUUAUCCCAGAUGGAGAAAAAUGAGCCGUUAGUAAUGGCGGCUUCUUAUUUUUGGUCUGAUGCACUUAAUGCCUUCUUAUUUGGGCACGGUCCUAUGACCCCAACACUGGCCGAUGUGGUCCUGUUGACCGGCCUCGACAUAUCCUCCCCGGACACACCCUAUCACCUUUUAACCACAACGUCACAUCGGCUGGACACAAGGGGAAUCGGCGGGUGGAAGGGUUUCAUCAAAAGUAAUAAGAGGACCGGGACUGUUGAGAAUAGGGAGCACACAGCUUUCCUGAUGAUGUGGCUAGAAAAGCACUUCUUUUGCGGAAGAGCCGCCGGCCCGACAACCAAUACCCAGGCCUUAGCUGAAGCACUGUCCAAGGGAAACCAUGUCCCUCUUGGGAAACAUCUGCUAGGGGCCGCGUACCACAUGCUACAUCAAAUCGGCAUAAGACUAUCCAAGGGAGAGCCGAUCGGCAAUCAAGGCGGGCCCUGGUGGUUCAUCAACUUGUGGUUGAACCUUUAUAUGAGCAGAAUUACUCAGCAGCCGGUGGAUCGCAUGACGUUCCCCAACAUCGAAUCGGUAGAAGACCCUACCGAACGUCGCCGAUGUAUGUCCUUUGGUGAAGCGGCAUCGGCUUUUCCAGGUUGCAUGUAUUCUGCUACAAAGGUAGCCGAGUACUUUCGAUGCUUCUAUAAUGGCUUUAGUGAAGAUGCAACCAUUUGGUUUCCGUAUUAGCGAGACGACCCGGUCUUUGAACUCCCCACUUGCUUCGAUUCGGCUUCCGGCCGAUUUGAUAUAGAGCUCUAUGAUGAGUUGAUCAAGCCAGGGCUCCUGCCAGCCAAUUUCUUCUCGGGGAAGGAUGCCCCUACGUACGAAUUCUACAACCCCUCCGCUGCAGCACGUCAAUUCGGCAUGGGUCAGCUGCCGAUUCAAGUGUACUUUGCUGGCCGAAUCAAGUUUAGGGAUGAGCUCACAUCUGGUCUGGAUUACAGUUGGUUACGAGACCGAAUCCCGGACUCCAGUACAAUUGACCUGAACGACUGGCUAGUAGCUCCCUUUGCUGUUCAGCCGUUCAAACUCUGGUGGGCCGAUUGGAAGCAAUUUCUUUUCUGCAACUCGGCAUCGGCAUACUGCAACCUUCUGGACCCAGCCAACAUCGACCCGAACGUCGAGGUAUUUCACUUAGCCAAUUUUUAUUCCUCUCAACAUGACUAAGCACUAAUGAUUUUAUUAUCUUUUCAGGCCGAGAAUCGAACUCCUCCAACACACAGCCGCAGCGGACGGCUAAUAGAAAGUCACCCAUACACAACUUAUCCUCUUAUCGGCUAUGACGCUCCGUCUGUUGACGUGAUUGCUGGCCGAUCAAAACAAGUCCAUAAGAGGACUACCAAGAAAACCAUUCGCCGAGUCCGAGCUCGUGUAGAAUCGGCAGAUCCCCCUGUGCUCGUAUCGGCAAAGACCCUGGCCGCACCACCUUCUCAGGUCAUCCAAGAUGCCGAUACCCAAGCCGUUGCGCAAGCUGGAACAGCCGCCGCGUCGUUGUUGUUGGAGGCCAUACAGGUAAACCUGAAUUUUACUGCUUCCGAUUGUUAUUCUGAUAUUAACCCUUCUUAUCCUUAGACUGCACAGAGCACCCCUAUGGAAAUACAACAAUCGGCAGCAACUCAACCAGCCAUCGGCGCGCCCCCGCUUUCAUCCGUUGAGGUAUAGUACUAUUUUACUGAUUUCCUUUGGUAUUUGCAUAAUGUACUUAUUCAAUCCUCUGACACAGGCCAUCGGCACACCAAGCGCUCCUCGACAACCGAUCUCUUCUCAGGGAGCUGGUCCAAGCACCGCGCCGAUUAUUGUGGAAUCUUCUUCAUCCGAUGAACCUAUGGCGCAGGCUCCUGAGCAAGGCGUGACGGCUUCACAAGUGCAGCAUGAGGAAAUUCGCUUCAAAAUGGUAAGUUUUGUUUCGGCUUCUAUCCAGCCGAUUUGCUUUUACUUCCAGCCGAUUUAUUUCUUUUCUUUAUUAUCUCCAGGAACAGGACACCCCCGACAACAGCCUCUUUUCUUUUGCGGUCGCCCUUUCCGACGACGAAGAGGUUGCCUCUCGCCAAGUUGCCUUGAGCUCCGUCCCUGAUGACAUCCGAGCCAAACUUUCCAGCAUCCGAUCCCUCCUUCAAGGGGACAUCGGUCGACUAGUAGAAGAUGCUUCAUCGAUUCGGCAGCUCUUCAAUGACAUCAGCGGACGAGUACCAGAAGAGGCGGAGGAAGCCCUGGCACCAGCGGCCUUCAUCGAGUCUAUGAGGAUCCCAGUCUUCAGGGCUCUUCGUCAUAUGGCCGAUCAUGCCAAGCUUGCCAAGACUCGUGAAGAGGAGGACGCGUUCAAGCGUCAGGCUCAAGAGGCACAUCGGCGCAUCCAUGUUCUGGAAGAUUCUCGCCCGGCGAUCAUCGGUGAGAUAGACCGCCUCAAGCGUCGGAGGGCGGAACUUGCCAAGGAGAUGGAGCAAGUGACUAAAGCAAUCAGUGCCGAAGAGAAAAAACUCCAAGAGCUACCUUCUGUCAUUGCCGAUUUGACACGGGAGAGGCAGCGCUUUGCUCAUGAGGCCCUAAAGCUCCAUUGCAGUACAUCAGAAGUCCCCGGAUCGGCAGAUGAAGACCAACGGGUUCUUGACUCUGCCGAUCAGAUCCGGCGCCGGGCUAUCACAGCUAUCGAUACCCUUCUGGGUAAUCUGUAAAACACUGACCGUUUGUCCGAACAUUUACUAUCUUCUUUGACCGUCCCUCGCGACGCCCUUUCUAUUUAUUACCUUUCUUAUUUCCGAUGGGACGUAGCCUUACCAAAUUUCCACGCAUCUUUUUCCAUAAAUACCGACCUCGGCACUUACUCCCGAUAGUACCAAUUUGGCUUUCGGUUUUACUCUCUCCUUCCUCUUACCGGUGCGACUUUCUGCCAUGGCUUCGUCGGCUUCUUCUUCCUCUGUUAACCAGGUGCAAUCUUGCCCUCUACCUCCCCCUCUUUUUAGAUCCUAGGAAAAGAAUGUCCCUUCUUAUUCCUUCUUUGUUUCAGCCUCAACGUCUUAGCCCUGCGCUCGUGCGCGCCAUUGAGCUCAUUCACUCUGAGGACCCAUUGACGUCGGAGGAUAAGGCGCUGAUCCUGGCCCAUCGUGAGGAACUUCGAGAUCACGUCACUGCGGAGGCUCGUGUGGUCUUGGAUCUCAUGGAGAGUGACAGUAGCCGACGAUCUCCAACCAUCAGGAGCCUUCAUUGUGGCGGCCUUGAAGACGAUGUUGCCACGGCGGCCCGUACGAUUUUGGACUUUAUGGAGAGCAAUGGUAGCCGGCGACCUCCCACCGAUAGGAGCCAUCCGCUUCCUCAGCAAGUCGUUCUCGAAGACGCAGCGGCAGGAACUUCGCGCCCUCCCAUGGAUCGGAGUCAUUUUCUCCCUCGUCAAGUUGAAGCGGAGACUUCAAUGAAGGCAAUAGAAGAAGAAUACCUUCACGUCAUGAGCGAGUUGGAGCGGAACGGGAAGGCGCCCAAGAAGAAGAACAAUUAGUUUUUUGUAUUUUUUGUUCUAAGGGCGACUAAUGUUUUGUCGGCCAUGUAACCCGCCGUCCGUACCGAAUGAAUGCAAUCGGCCGAUCCGGUCGACUAUGUGUUUGAACCGAUUUGUAUUGGCUAUGCGUUUGAACCAAUUUGUAUCGGCUAAGUGUUUGAACCGAUUUGUACCGGUUAUGUGUGGUCGUGUUAUGGUCAAUUUCCUACGCUCCGACCCAUAUACUGGGGUAGUAUCUUUUUAAGUACCUUCCGUUCAGAGCUCUAGUAAAUUCCUCUCCUUCUAUUGUUUCCAAAAUGUAAGCAUUUCCUGGGGCGCAUCUGCCGAUUUUGUACGGCCCUUCCCAUGUAGGGGACCAUUUUCCGAAUUUAGGAUCCUUCGACCCAAUCGGCAAUACUAACUUCCAUACUAAGUCCCCAGGGGAGAAUUGUUUGGCUUUGACCUUUUUAUCGUACCACCUGGCUACCCUCUUUUUAUUUUCUUCAAUGCUUAUCAGAGCCCUCAAUCGUUGGCCAGCCAAAUCGUCAAGUUCCCUUUUCAUAAGUGACGAGUAAUCAUCGGCCGUUAACUGGUCCUGGAGCGAAAUACGCCUUGAUCCCGCCCUUGACUCCCAUGGCAGUACCGCAUCGUGACCGUACACCAAUUGGUAGGGAGAUAACUUGGUAGCCCCAUGACAAGCCAUCCGGUACGCCCAUAAGGCCUCUGUCAAACAUAGAUGCCACUUCUUCGGUUGUUCCUCGACUUUUCUUUUGAUCAAUUUGAUUAUCCCUUUAUUGGAGGAUUCCGCCUGACCAUUGGCUUGGGCGUAGUAUGGAGAAGAAUUUAACAAUUUGAUUCCCAUAUUGGUCGUAAAUUCCUCAAAUUUCCCUGAUGUGAACAUUGUUCCUUGAUCGGUUGUUAUAGUCUGAGGGAUACCGAAUCGGUAAACGAUGUGGUCCCUUACGAAGUCAGCCAUGAUAGCCGAUGUCACGGUUCUCAACGGGAUAGCCUCUACCCAUUUGGUAAAGUAAUCAGUAGCCACCAGAAUAAAUUUGUGCCCUUUGCUUGAUGGUGGGUAAAUUUGGCCAAUAAGGUCUAUUCCCCAUCCCCUGAACGGCCAUGGCUUAAUGAUGGGAUUCAUGGCCGAUGCGGGUGCACGCUGGACAUUUCCAAACUUUUGGCACUCCUGACAGCCCUUAUAAUAUUUGAAACAGUCUUUGAGGAUCGUUGGCCAGUAGUACCCAUUAUUCCUGAUCAUCCACUUCAUCUUAUGCGCCGAUUGGUGUGCUCCACAUACCCCCUCAUGGAUUUCUCCCAUCAGCGUCUUGGCCUCCUCUGUCCCAAGGCAUUUGAGAAGAACUCCGUCGAUCGUUCGGUAGAAUAGGUCAUCUUCGAGCAGCACGUAUUUGGUGGCAUGAAAACGUACUCGUCGCUCCACCUUUUUAGACGGAUCCUUCAGGUAGUCGGCAAUUUCUUUACGCCAGUCAUCGGCCGUGAGCUCUAGAGCCAUAGUGCCUAGAAUUAGCCGAUACCCAGACGCAUGCUGGGCAAGUUUGUUGGCGUCUUCGUUGCGGUCUCUUGGGAUGUGCUCGAUUACUGCCGAUCGGAAUUCUUUUAAAAGCUGUAAGCAAUCUUCGUAAUAAUUUCUUAAUACGUCAUCUUUGCAUUCGGACCUUCCGGUCAGUUGAUCCACAAUAAGCAUAGAAUCUCCGAAGACUUCAACGGAAUCGGCCUUGACUUCUCUCAAUAGUUGUAAGCCUUUUAAUACAGCUCGGUACUCCGCUUGAUUGUUAGUAGCGGCGGUUUCUAUCGGCAGAGAAAAAUCAUAGCUUGCCCCCCGAGGCGAUAUGAGAACGAUGCCGAUUCCUGAUCCGACCCCACAUGAUGACCCGUCAAAAUAUAAUGUCCAAGGUGCCAGCUCUACGAGGGCAAUCUCCGGUCUGCAGUGCUGGGCGACGAAAUCGGUCAUGACUUGACCCUUGACGGCUUUUGCCGAUUCAUACCGCAGGUCAAACUCUGAUAAAGCUAAGAUCCAUUUGCCGAUUCGACCUUUCAAUAUCGGCAGUGAUAGCAUGUAUUUUACUACGUCAUCUUUGCAUACGACUACACAUUCUGCCGACAGUAGAUAGUGCCUGAGUUUGGUGCAUGAGAAGUAAAGACAUAGGCAUAAACGCUCCACCGGAGGAUAUCUUGUUUCAGCAUCCAGAAGUCUUCUACUGACAUAAUAAAUUACCCGCUCCUUGCCUUCAAACUCCUGGACUAGAGCCGAUCCAAUAGCUUUUUCAUCGGCUGAUAAGUAUAGUUUAAACGGCUUACCAGUUUGAGGGGGAACCAACACUGGUGGUGAGACCAAGUAUUGCUUGAUAUCUUCCAAUGCUUUGCGCUGCUCUUCUCCCCAUAUAAAUUCCUGGUCUGGCUUUAGCUUCAGAAGUGGCGUGAACGCCUGAAUCCGUCCAGAUAGAUUAGAUAUAAAUCUUCUGAUGAAAUUCACCUUGCCGAUUAGAGACUGCAGUUCGGUUUUGUUCUGUGGGGCCACGACUUUGUUGAUGGCCGCUAUGGUCUUCCGAUUGAUCUCUAUGCCUCGUUCGUGUACCAUGAAUCCUAAGAACUGUCCGGCGGAUACGCCGAAAGCACAUUUGUUGGGAUUCAUCUUAAGACCAUGUUUUUUGGUACACUCUAGCACUUUUCGCAAAUCGGCCAGAUGUUCUUCGUGACCUUUAGACUUGACCACGACAUCAUCGAUGUAGAUUUCUACCAGAAGGCCAAUGAGUUUGUGAAAUAUGUAAUUCAUAGCUCUCUGAUAUGUAGCGCCAGCGUUCUUCAAGCCGAAAGUCAUCACCACCCACUCGAACAAACCAAGGUGGCCUGGACAUCUGAAGGCCAUUUUGGGUAUAUCCUCUUCGGCCAUAAGUAUUUGAUUGUAUCCGGCGUUUCCGUCCAUGAAGCUAAUGAUUUUAUGCCCCGCGGCCGCGUCGAUCAGUACAUCGGCCGUUGGCAUGGGGUAACCAUCCAUCGGUGUGGCCUGAUUAAGAUUCCUGAAAUCAACGCAAACGCGUAGCUUCCCAUUUUUCUUGUAUACUGGUACGAUGUUAGAAAUCCACUCGGCAUAACGACAUUGCCGAAUAAAUUUUGCUUCGAUUAGCCGAGUUAUUUCAGCUUUUAUGUCUGGUAGAAUUUUAGGAUUGCAACGCCGUGCGGGUUGUUGGUACGGCCGAUACCCUGGUUUUAUGGGUAGCCGAUGUUCAACAAUGGAUCGGUCUAAACCGGGCAUCUCGUGAUACUCCCAAGCAAAACAAUCCUUAAAUUCCUUUAAUAAAUUUGUCAAUUUACACUUGUACUCUGGAUCUAAAUUUGCACUAAUAUAAGUCGGCCUUGGUUUGGUACCAUCGCCUAAAUCUAUCAUUUCCAAUGAAUCGGCCGACGUGAACCCAUGCCCUAGCUUCCCAUCUUCUCAGGCGAACUGAUCCAUCUAUUCUGAAUCUUCGGAGCCGACUGCUCGGAUCGGCUGUAGGCCAAAAUCGGUGACCUUCAGGAAAUCGAUCUCCCAUACUCUACCUGAUAUGCACCUGACGGUUUCGCAACUCCACUGCUGCGUGUCGGCUGCCGCAAUGCUGUAUGCGGAGUCGGCUUUGACCACCUCGAUGUUAUCGCCGACCCAUUGUACGAGGCACUGAUGCAUUGUUGACGGGAUGCAGCAGUUUGCGUGUAUCCAGUCUCGGCCAAGUAGCAUAUUGUAGGAUCCCUUGCCAUUAAUAAUAAAGAAGGUGGUAGGAAGGGUCUUACUGCCGAUGGUGAGGUCGACGCAGAGAGCACCGCGAGCGUUUGAUACCUUGCCCUUGAAGUCCUUGAGCAUCAUGUCUGUCUUGGUCAAGUCGUCGUCGCUUUUCCCAAGUUUCCGGAGUACGGCGUACGGCAUGAUGUUGACUGCAGCUCCUCCGUCUACCAUCAAUCUAGUGAGGGGACGGCCAUCAACAUGCCCCUUAAGGAACAGCGCCUUCAUAUGUUGUCGUUCGUCAUCUUCGGGCUUUUCGAACAUGGCCAUCAUUGGCUCCAGGGCCAACUGCGCUGUCUGUUCUUCUAUCGCCGAUACAUCCUGUUGAUCGGCGGGAGUCAUGAAUUCCAUCGGCAAAAUGAAAACCAUGCCGAUCUCGGCCGCCGAUUCGUCCCCCGCCGACUCGUCGUUCCCUUUAUCAUUUCUUUUGGGGCGCCACACCCGAGGCCUUCCUUCCUUCUUGUCUGUCACGCUUUCUUCUUCUUGCUGUUCCAAUUGGCGGAGACGUUGGAUUCUUUGUUUUUGAGACUUGGUCAAUCCGUCGGGACACCACCUGGGGUUUAUUGGUCUUCCCCUUGACCUGGCGCGUUCCCACUCCGGUUCGCGUCCUAACGGGUUUUCAUCUGUCACCCGAGCAUCGGCCAUCUCUUUGAGCCGGCUGUGAACGCUGGCUUUGUUGUCCGACUGGUCAUGCCGAUCAGUCCUGCCCCUCUGCCUAUCAUGGCGUCUAUCUUCCGAUCGAUCAUAUCGGUCACUUCUGCCCCCCAGCCGAUCACGCACGGGAGGGCGCUGGUCAUCUUGGUUGCGCCAAUUCUUGCUGGUCGGUUCUGGCCUUCCAUCUCUGGAGCGAGACCCUUUGAACGGCCGAUUGCCACGAUAAGGACCGUUGCAUUCUGGGCAAGUAUCGGCUGAAGGUAGCCUGAGGUUGUGUUCCCAACAGUGAAUGAAGAACGGGCAUCUCAAGUGCUCCUCGUGCCGACGCAUUGCUUCUUCUCGGGACCUUGAGCGUUCAUGCUGACGUUGGUACUUCUGGAGCAGGAACUGGGAAGUAAUGCGUGGCCCUUCUGACUCACCAUCGUCGUCCUCUAUCCGCCGCUUCCCCUUGACAUCUUCAGGAGUAGCUUGAUUUCUGGGAUCGACGGCGCCACUCUUUUUGGCUAAUUCGGACGUCAGCACUUUUGUUUGGAGUGAAUUCUUCCCUGUAUCAACCAUGUUGGUAGGAAAGGGGUGUUGGUCAAUCUUCAUUGGCUUGGCCGAUUUUGCCGGCACUUCAAAUUUAAGUCUGCCUUGCUCAAUGGCCGACUGUAUCUGCUGCCUGAAGAUUUUGCACUCGUUGGUAUCAUGGGAUGUGGCAUUGUGCCACUUGCAAUACUUCAUCUUUUUUAGUUGUUCGGCAGAAGGUAUUGUAUGGUACGGCGAGAGUUUAAUCUACCCUUCCUGGAGGAGAAGGUCGAAGAUUUUAUCGGGCCUUAGUUGUGUCAAAACCGAACACUUCCGGAUCCUUUUUGCCGAAUGGGCAUGAUAUCGGCUUCUUCCCUUUGAUCCACUCCGCAAGUCCGACUUCAACAUCUUCCUCAUCCUCUAACUCUUCCAGGAACGCCACUUUCUUUUGGAAAUUCCUCCGCGGAUCAAAAGGACGUACCUCCUGUCCAAACAAUCGGUGAACAAUCUGGCUCAGACUUUCGAACUCUUGUGAAGCGUAUCUUUCUUUGAUGUGGGGCAGAAGGCCUUGAAAAGCUAUAUCGGCCAACUGUGCAUCGGUUAGAGCCAGGGAGUAGCACUUGUUUCUGAUUUCCCGAAACCUCUGUAUGUACGAGGAUAUCGGCUCAUCACUCCUUUGCCUGAGGCUGGUCAAAUCGGACAGCUUCAUCUCAUGCACCCCGGCAUAGAAGUAUUUGUGGAACUGUCUUUCUAAAUCGGCCCAUGUGAUAAUCGAGUUUGGCGGCAAUGUCGUGAACCAUUGAAAGGCUGAACCAGACAGAGAUGACGAGAACAACCGUACCCGUAGGGCGUCUUGCGUAGCUGCUUCUUCGCAUUGGAUGAUGAAUCUAUUCACGUGCUCUACGGUCGAAGUAUCAUCCAUCCCCGAAAAUUUAGUGAAGUCAGGAACUUUAUACCGAUGGGGGAACGGCAAUAGGUCAUAUGUAGAUGGGUAUGGUGUUCUGUAGGUAUAAGUUUGCACUUUUGGCUUCAAGCCGAAUUGUUCUUGCAUCACCUCCGCAAUACGUGCCGACCAAUCUGGCUGUUGCUGGUGAACUGUUGGCUGAGGUAUCGGCACGUGCUGGUAAAUCGGAGGCUGAAUAAACGGAGGCUGAUGAAAAGGUGGUAUCUGAGUGUAAGCCGGCUGUGUAGUAAAGGCUGGCUGUUUGAAUGAGCCACUCGUUUCAUCGUACAGCAUGAUCUCUGCUGUCUUGUUGAUCCCCGGAGCGACAGGCUAGUAUGGCGGCACGGUUGGCCGAAUAGCAGCCUGGAAGGAUGUCUGGAAUGGAGAGUUCACUUGACUGGCCGAUUGAUUCUGACCGGCCGUGACCGAAGGUGCCCCCCAGGGUGAUGGGUGAAUUGGGCUAACUGGAGGGAAUGGCGCAGAGGACAGUUGGAUGGAGCCAUAUCCCAUUGGAGUUGAUGACGAGGAAGCACCUGAACUCCCGACAGAAAACUGGAUCGGCUGCGAGGCCGAAUUCGAACAAUUCUGGUUUGGUGGAAUCGGCUGAAAAUAUGCCGGUCCCCUGUAUCCUUGAGGUAUGCCCCCGGCGAAGGAGUUGACAACAGCGUUGUGCACCAUGUUUGAAAGCACCGGGGACUGGUCAAUGAAAGCGUGAUGAAUAGACUGUUGAAUCAUAUCGGACAUUUUAUCCGAAUCUUCAGAAAUCGUGAUCUGGCGGGGAGCAGGGAAUGGAGUCUUCUUGAUGGUCUCCCCGCUUCUGGAGCGACUGAAAGACUUCAGGCAAGCUUUCUGGAACUGUGCCGUAUACUUGUCCAGCUCUUCCUUCUGGUCGUCCUUCAGAUCUGCUUCCGUCACCUCGAUGACGUUAUCUUCGGAGACUUCAGCAGCUUUCGACAUGAUGGCGGUUGUAUUGGUCCCACCGGGCGUGCCAAAAGUGUGUUGGCGCUAGAAAUCGGUCAACCGAAUCCCAGCGACCGACACACGACCCGGGAGAAUCUGCUUAGCUCCUGUUCGGGUGAAUGCCCUGGUGCAGUUCGCGCGGCGUGCCAGCCAAUCUGACCUGUUGAUUGGCAAGGAAGAAUACGUGUCAGGUCCAGAAAUCACGAUCGGCUAAGUUUCCGAUCGAGAGAGUUUAUCAGCGAAUCGACCGAUUUACUGUAGUAAUGAAAUCGGCUAUAAGACAGCCUGAUCUCUGUAGCCUUGUAGACAGGGAAUUACUAAAGUAAUCGAUACAAAGCUAUGAUAACAACACUAGGAACAGAUCUAAUCGGCAAUAGAUGAAUUUAAUAACAGAAUAUAGAAAGAGCCGAAACUACCGAUUCCUAGCUGGAUAACUAGUGAUAAAGACUAGAAAAACAGGUAAAACCUAUGGAUCUAGCAAAUAUCGAUAACUAGUGAAUAAAUCUAAACGAAACAACAGUGAUACGCCCGAAGUUAAAGCUUAGAUAUUACUCGAUAAACGGAACUUACAGAAUCGGCCGGAGAUCAAGAUGAUGCAGCCCUGCCAACCCGCACGAACUCGUGAGAAGAGAAAAGUAAUGGCGAAGUCGCCUGCUUGAAAGUAAGUACGAAGAAAAAGUAGCUUGUUGUAUUGAUUGGUUGAUGAUUACAGAUUUACAAAGGUAGCUAUUUAUAGCCCCAUACAGAUAUCUUCUUAACCGACUAGAAUUCUAUCCCUAAUUCAAACAGAAAACGAAUAUCUACAAGCACGAUUCGUGCUAGGUUAGUUACUCCACGCUUCGUGGGCUGAUUUCCAGCUCACCCUUCUAUUCCAAGCCCAUACAGGCCCAAUUAACCCAUCCUCCUAAUCGGCCGAUUCCUCAUCGGCAAAAGGCUACCGAUUGGGACUCUGGUAUAUUCGACCCGAAACGAGACAGAAGUCACCGGCCGAUCUCACACUGUAGCACCACUUGGCCGAUUCCCAACUGUGCUCCUCCGAUUCCCUCUCUUCUUGGCGCCGAUUCUACUAGUGACGAAAUCUGGCGUCAACAGUAUAUAUAACCAUUCUUGUAUUGUUUCACGCCACCGUUACUACUACGUCCUAAUUAACGAAUCUUGAACUGUUAGCCCUCCGGAUGGACACAAGGGCAGAAGACCCGAGGUCGUACAAAGGUGAUGGAAGGGAGGCUUGUCAUCACGGAAGUGACAGAAGAGGGCAGGCCGGUUGCUCCCGAGAAAGUAGCAAAGAAGUAUAUGAGUCAGAUCGGGGCAAUCGUCCGGGACAACGUGCCUAUCAGCAUCAGAGAAUGGAAGGGCAGAAGCACUAAUCCGUACGCCCUUCCAGAGACAGAAAAGAAUAUGCUGUGGGAAGACGUGAAGAGACAUUUCACAUUCCCCGAAGGAUAUAGUGAGAAGGAUGUCAAAGCGUGGACGCUUAAGAAGAUGGCUACUCAAUUCCAGACAUUCAAGAAGAUGCUGGAUACCCACUACAUCAAGAAGGGCCGAACUCCAGACUUCAACGCGUGGCCAAAGUUGAGGGACCACUGGGAUGCAUUUGUUGAAUAUAAGAGGAGUGAAGAAGGUGUGAAAAAGAUCACGACCAACACAGCAAAUGCUAGUCAGAAGGGCUACCACCAUCAUUUGGGGCGAGGUGGGUAUGGCUCAGCAAUUCCCAAGUGGAGGAAGAUGGAACAAGAUCUGAUCGAACGGGGAAUCGUACCUGCAACUAUUGAAUGGCCCGAACGAUCAAAAAAUUGGUACUACGCUCAUGGAGGCUCCCUAAGCCAAGAGGAUGGGAUGUUGAAUAUUAAUGACACAAUACGUGAGAAGGCCGAACAUCUCAUGAAGAACAUUGAAGAUUCUAAGGCUGGGAGGUUGAAGGUGGACCGAGAAAAUGAUGAGCUCACAUUGGCCCUCGGUAAUCCAGAGCACCCAGGACGUUGCCGAGGGUUCGGGGUGGUUCCGUGGAAGUUCACUUUCCGAGGCGACAGCACCUCGUACAGAAGCCGGAAGCGAAGAAAGGAACAGAUCGAGGAGAGCUGGCGGCAGAUGCUAGAACAAAGAAUGAUGGAUGAAAUCAAUCGGCGGGUGGCCCACGCAGUUGCGGAGUUGGCCCAAUCUGGAGCAUUGCCGAAUCCUAACACCGCCAGCCCUUCUCAACGCCUCUUGAGCAGUUGUGCUUCUACAGGGGUCCCCGAUGCGCAGACGCCCAGGUUACCCGUGGAGGAGCAACGGUUCCCCGUGGAUGCCAUCACACAACGGACCUCAUGUGAGCUGCAUGCACCGGUAGGCAACCUCACUAUUAAGGUAUACUUAUACAUAAUAUUUAUGCAAUCUUGUCAAUUGAUCCAGGCCUCGAGAUCGGAGUUCAACUUGUUUACUUCUGCUAUAUGUACAGGUAGCGUACGGGAGUGCGUUAGCAACCCUGGCGGGGCAGAGCAGUCAUGGCAUGGAAAUUCCAACAGGCUACGCCAGCGUCUGCGUAGAGCAAAUAGUUGAUCCCCAGUAUGAAGGUCUAGAGCUCGACUUCCCGGGAGGCGACGGGGAAAAGACAUUGGCAGAUGCGCUUCAUGGGAUAAUUCUAUGGAAGAAAUGCUACAUCAUUAUUCCCGGCACGGAGCCAUCUCCUCAGACCUCAAGACCGCUCCCCGUAGAUCCCCAGCAGCGACCUUCUCCUCAUACCUCGAGACCGUCAUCUCCUGCUCCAGGACCGUCCCUUCCAUCUAUAUCAAGGUCUCCAUCUCCACCACAUCCUAGUGCUGGGAGCGACGACGACAAUAACAACACCCCUCCCCGAUCACCGUCGCCGGCACCAAGAGCGGCCCCCUUGAAGGAACAUGCACCACCACUAAAGAAGUCACGAGCACCGCCUCCCAAGCAAAGACAGAGAAAGAAGAAAACAAAGGAGCCUGAAGUGACUCGUAAGGAACGCUUUGAGGCAAUGUAUCAUGCAGAACAGUGGGCAGAAAUCCAACGAGAGGCCAGUGAGUGGUUCAAGAAACAAGCCGAAGAAAAAAAGGCAAGGGAGAUGGAGCCACCGCCAGUAAGUCGGCGAGAUUUAAACUUUUUUAUCAGGAUGGAAGAAGGAGCCAAGAAAAGGAUACCACUCUUGUCAAACUAUGAACGGGCUCUAGUAAAGGCUGAUGAAAAGGAUAAAAGGAAAGGAAAGUCAUCUUCCAGCGGUCCAGUCCCCGACCUCAGCCAUUUAUCAAAAAAAGAUGCUCAACAGGUAAAAGCAAUGCCCUUGGAUCAACAAGCAAAUGUAUUGAAGUUCAUGGAAGAAACAGGUCUGGGACUUGAUGAAUGCAUAGGGCAAGUUGAGACGCCAACUGCACCGCCCCCUGAGCCGAAGUGGCCUUAUGAGCUAGGAAAACCUCUAGUAAAGCCUUCAUUGGUACGGAAGCUAUCAACAAAGAUGUACGCAUUCCAUCAAUGGUACAUGAUGGCAUCCGUCGACUCGAGGGAGAUGAUCGGCAUGAAGGUAAAACCGAUAGAUUUUCACGGUGAAGGGGAGAAAGUGAUGUGGCUAGACUUCAAGGAUAUAUACGAAGUGUACCAUCAUGAUGCCCUGGACGUCUCUCUGAUCAGCGCUUGGAUUCUGUAAGUGUCCGUUUAUCUCUACAUGUAAAUUUUGGCGUACAUCACCGUACUAACUUCAUCUUCCAUUUCAUGUAGGAUGCUAAUUCAGACAUGCCGCCGAGAGGCGUACCUACAUAUAGGCUUCAUGGAUCCAUCUGUAGUUAACCAACAACAGAUACAAUUAGCGCCGGAAAAAACCUUUGCGGAAAUAUACAAUUUCCUAGACAAACAAACAUUCAAGGAUUUCAUACUACUUUCAUACAACUUCAAGUAAGUGUGUGUAUACCGUCUACUUUCGAUGUCUUUUUCCUUAUCUCUACAUGUUAGUUAGCUCUAAUAUGCAUGAACAUUUUACGCACGCAGCUUCCACUGGAUCCUUAUUAUAAUUGAGCCUGAAAGAAGCCACGUCACUGUCUUCGAUUCGUUAAGGAAAGAUCCGGUGGACUACCAAGAAUUGCAAAACAUGCUAGGCUUGUAAUAAUUCUGGACCUUUAUCUCUAUGCAAAAAUUUAUUUCCUAAAUUUUAUCCCUGUUACACUAUAUCAUUCAUUAUUCUAAUCCGCAGCGCAUGGAAACAAUUCAUAAGGACACACAAAGGUCCAUUCAAAGAAAAACUUACAUGGAACACAGACUUCCCGGUACGUAUGCAGUCUGCACAUUUAUUACAUUGUAUAACACGAAUAUUUCAUAACUUAUUUUUUUCCGCACUGAAGUGCUUAAGACAGGAACCCGGGAAUAAUCUAUGUGGCUACUACAUCUGUGAGCACAUGCACAGUUUUAUGGGACCCAAGGGACCGAAGAUGACGCCGCACAACUUUAAAGUACGUAAAAUAAAACUAUUACUAGUUAAUUAUUUUCUAGCUCCUUAUAUGUAUUUGUUCAUGUAACAUUCACAAAUUUCCAAAUUAUAGAUGUUAAAUAUUCAACAAGGACUCUUGAAGGAAGAAAGAGUAGCGGCAAUAUGUGAAGGUCUCAUUGGAUUCAUAAUGGACGAGGUGGUAAAUCCAAAAGGAGAAUUUUAUUAUGAUGGACGACAAUUAGACACUCCGAUCAGCAACACCACGACGGGAAGAUUGUAGGAAGAUACUUUGAUUUAUUUGUAUAUAUAAUACGCGCUAAUUAUGAUCGAUUUGUACUAAGCUAGUUGAAUUGUGUAUAUGAAUUGUGUAUAAGGAUUGUGUAUAUAUAUAGUAAUUGUAUAAUUACAAAUCCCAUUCGUUUAAAUACUAGUUGAUUUCGUUCUAAAAAAAUCUCAACUACUAAAGGUUAACAAAUUAAAAGGGCCGCGGUACUACGUAUACGUGAUGCAUGCAUGAAAAAUUCAGGCGUCACGGCAGUGCCAUGCAAGCGUCAUUUAGUCCCGGUUGGAAUCCAGCCGGGACUAAAGGGUAACCCUUUAGUCCCGGUUGGUGACACCAACCGGGACUAAAGGGGGACCUUUACUCCCAGUUAAAAGACCCAGGACUAAAGACCCCCCCUUUUGUCCCGGUUGGUUUAUCCCGGAUGGAUUUUCGAGAGAUAUGUACCCUACCAACCGGAACUAAAGGCCAAUAUUGGUAAGCUUUCAAACAACCUUCAAGUGCUAGGGUUAGGACAAACAACUUGUCAGGGAUAAUUCCCACCAGCUUUGGGAACCUUACUGGCUUAACAAAACUUUAACUUAGUUACAACAAUCUCAAUGGUCCAAUCUUAGAGUGGGUUGGAAAUAUGAAGGAUCUUGGAGCUAUAGUUCUUGAUGCAAAUAACUUCACUGGUUUGAUUCCGUCUUCUAUGAGUAAUCUUACAAAAUUGACUCUGCUCUCUCUUACAAAAUGAAUUCGAAGGUCCAAUAUCACCAUGUCUGGGAAGUCUGCCACUUCUUACAUAUUUGAACCUUAGUUAUAACAAUCUGCAGGGUAACAUUCCUAAGGAAAUAUUCCAUCCCGAGUCCUCAAUAACCACAUGCGUGUUAUCCUACAAUAAGUUAGAAGGUCCAAUUCCUCCAGAGAUUUCUAAUCUUUGACGACUGACGGAACUAUAUCUUUCAUCCAAUAAGCUUAGUGGGGAAAUUCCUUCAACCCUAGGAAAUUGCAAAGAGUUACAGAUCAUUGAAAUAGAUUGUAACUAUCUCCAGGGGAGCAUUCCGUUGACUUUUAAUGGUCUAAAGAGCAUGACCUUGCUAAAUCUUUGACACAACAAUUUGUCAGGCUUCAUCCCAACAAAACUGGGUGACUUACCAGCUGCAACAAAUUCCUCACCCAGCUGGAUCUAUCUUACAAUAAUCUGCAAGGCGAAGUACCCACAAAUGGAGUAUUUGGAAACGCCAAAUUUUUCUCACUUCUUGGCAACUAGGGACUUUCUGGAGGAGUGCGGGAUCUACAUAUGUGCCCAUGUGCUACAGUCAUGGAGCAAAGAAACACGAUACUACUACCUGAUCAGGUUACUCAUCCCGGCAUUUGGAAUCAUGUCACCCAUAAUGUUGAUCUAUGCUGUAAUCCCACAGAAAAAGAAGUCAACAACAAGGUACUCAUUGUUAUUUUAUUUUGGUAAGAAAUUCCCUAUAGUUUCUUACAAGGAUCUAGCUCAAGCUACAGAAAACUUCUCAGAGUUCAACCUGAUUGGGAGGGGUAGCUAUGGUUCAGUGUACAGAGGAAAGUUAACUCAAGCUAAAAUGCAAGUGGCUAUCAAGGUUUUUGAUCUUGAGAUGAGAUUUGCAUACAAAAGCUUUGUAUCAGAAUAAGAGGUCGGGUGGGCCGCAGCCCACUCUAAGAUUUGGUCCAAAGAACCCAACGUAAGAAAUCGGUGCUCGAUAGCCUAAGAGGGGGAGGGGUGAAUUAGGCAACUUAAAACCUUAACAUGUGGCUUCAACUACAAAGCAUCAAAAAAUAGACUAAAUCAUGCUAUGCAGAUAUGCAUCUAUGGUUGAUCUAGUGAAAACUUCCCACCCACGAAGAGUUUUACAACUUAGAGCCAAUCCUAUCAAGAUAUUACUCUAGAAUAUAAGAAAUGCAAAAAUGUAUAAAAGUGGGUUAGGAACGAUGCAAACUCGGGACGACGAUUUAUUCCGUAGUAUCGAUAGGAAAAUGACACCUCUAGUCCACUAGAGCUCCACCGAGGAUACGCUCCUGGACACCAAAUCUCUCUCGAUCAAGGUCUUGGACCCACCACAAAGGCUCUCACCAAGCCAGAUGAGAAGCUUGCCAUGAAGGAAAGCUAACCACUCCCUCUCUUCCAUUCACCAUGGCGCCGUCUUUACUACAUAGCUUCUCUAUGAAGGAAGGGUUCUCCCCGUCCCCCGCACACGAUCGUUGUUAUUGAUCCACAUCAAGCUGGAGAGUCGAAGACUUGCCAGCGAGCCACCAAAGGCCCGAGGCGCCAGCACACCAAGCUUACAAUGGUGGUUCACUCCUUGAACCAAUCACAAGGUAGCAACACCUUGAACUCACUCUCUCUAGAUGUAUCCUAGCACUAAUCACUCUCGAAGCAUGUGCUAAACCUUGUAUUAUCACUUUUUGCACUUUUGGUGGGAUGGAUGUGUUCUUGAUGAGUCUUGAUCUUGAAUGAACUCUUGGACACUACAGCAAUUUCAAAUGGGCGAGUAGAGGGGGUAUAAAUAGCCCAUGGACCUCAAAGACCCAUUGAUCCAACGACUAGUAAAAUCUGUGAGCAUCGGAUGAUCCCAUGGUCACUUUAGAUAGGCAUCGGAUCAUCCGGUGCCCCUUGCUAAUGCAUAUAGCCGUUGGACCCCCUGCCCAAAAUUACUCCGAUGCUUCAUCCAAUGGGCAUCGGAAUAUCCGAUGCUGAGGACUUUUUCACCUAAAACCUUCUGGAUGAUUUCAAAGUAAAUAUGUUUAGUCCGAUGCCUCCAACUUCUGACCAUCGGAACAUCCGGUACUAUAGGAUUUUCUCCAUCUUCUUUGCGCAUUGUUCCGACGCUUGUAAAAAGAACCUCGUCAUAUCAUUCGGUGCUUACUGCAACUCAAGCUGAUUUCUCAAUUGUACUAAUUGCUUAGAUGGUUGCUCUAGUGGACCGUCGGAUCAUCCGGUGCUUCAUAUUUUUCUGAGUUGAAUAUCGCAAUUUGCACACAAAAAUACCAUCACUUGGAUUUCUAUCAUUUAAACACUUUGAAUACCAUAGAAUGAUCCAGAUAUUUAUGAAUUGGACACUUGAAUAUCAUGAUUUGGACCUUUUGCCAUGAUUUAGUUUGCAUUCUUAGGAUCCAGAAAAUCUAAGGUACAUGCUAGUCAAAGCAUUAGUUUGUCACUCAGUCAUUAAAAUCACAAAUUAUAACCUAAUAGGACCAUGUUCCUUGCAAUCCAGCUCCUAGAUUUUCCCAUCCGCUGAGACGCUGACAGAGCCAGCCACGAAGCCAGCACCCACGACUCAUGGUAAUCAUGGUAAUAAAAAGGAUCAAGUUAAUGAUUUGAUCUAGUGGCUUGUCAAAUUUUUUGCAUUGUUGGACCACUCUAACUUGAAAUCCUAGAAAUUCUCACUAAAAUCAGAAACAUCAAAUAUUAAUCGUGCAAACUCUAAUAAUUAUAAUCAUUGAUCUAUAAUAUUUUAUAAAAGGUUACCUACCAAACAUAUUCUAAAAUAAACCCUAACCCUAUAUCUAAAUUAUCGAGCUCUGCAAUUAUAAAAAACUAAUCUAAAGUAACCUCCAUAAUCUUCGUCCAAUUUAUUUAUACAUAUCAUUAUAAAGUAUAACUUCAAAUGUUACUCUAAAUUUGUAUCUAAGUUACCCACGUCUAAAUUUGUAUCUAAGUUACCCACGUAUGUUCUUAUUAAAAUAAUCUAAAGUAAACACCUAAAUCUUAAUCUAAUUAUCUUCAUGUGUGUCAUUCAAAAAAGUCCAAAAGUAAACAUUAUGAGUGUUAUUAUUAAUAUAGAAAUACUAAGUUAAGGUAUAUACGCAUGAUGAGUGUCACCAUGUAGACAAUCUGUACAUGUAUGUGGAGAUGUGAUACAAAAUGAAAAAAAAGUGUGAAUGUGGAUAAAAAAUAUAUAGAGUAAUUAAUAAUUAAAAAUAAUCAUAAGACAUAAGUAUACAUAUCAAACGCCUGUCUCGAUCGCUUGGCUUCGUGCCGAAACCAGCUAGCUAAACAGUAAACACCUUUGCCGUCGGGGCUGGCUCCACAAGGUGGCAGUUGUCAGUUGUGCUGUUCGAUCUCCAUCCCACGCUGGCAGGUAGGACACCCGUGAGGCGAUGAAUCGUGACGCGAGCUUCGACGGGCCGCUAGCUUCGACGUACGAGUACAGCGAGCAGUGGCUGGAAUUUUGCAAUUCCUUCGGUUGGGUUGGGUGGUUUUGUGCGGGAUCGGCAAUGGUGACAACUGGACGAGCUGUUUGUGUUGGCUUUGUGCAAACUGCUCUCAAGUACAUUACAUUCAUCUUCUAAUGAUCAAUUUACUGAGUUUGCUGUCGAAGAUGGGCUAACUACUUGGUGAUGCAAUCACAACGCAUGCAAAAGAUGUGUUUCAACUUGCACAGCCACCACCUUGCUGAUGGUGAUUUAGCUAAGUUUCAACUUGAAAUUUCAAACUUCCGAAAAAAAUGCAGCAAGAUCGUAUCUAUGACGCUUGACUCUUUGCAGAAUACUUACAGUUAUCUGGUCCUCAAUUGGAAUAAAUUUUGUUUGCAUAAAAAGUAAAGUGCCACAUUUUCACCUUCAUAGAACUAAUUGUCUCACUAGAUAUUUCUCCAAUUAAUAAUCAACAUUGUACGAGACCCCUACGAAGCACGGCAUUGUAUAGACUAUUCUUGUCGAGAUCGGAUACAUAAAAGUUGACUUGACGCGCUACCCGUUCAAAGAUAACCCAUGAACGAAUCAUGGCCACACGAUACAUUCUGGAAGCGCGAUCAUUACAAAGAUCCAAAUCGGAUUUGAAAACGAAAAUCCAGCGCCGGUAGACCAUUCCACGAGCUGAAUUUUAUCGUCAUCGAAACCGCACUAGACAUGUAGCACGCAUCAGCCCGGAAUAUCUCUGUCCAUUUCCUGCAGAAAAGUACCCUGCGAUUCGAGGCUGGACACGCCGCAACAAUCUUGUCCAGCUCAGACAGUGACGGCCGCACUGUUGAGAAGAUCGAAGCUGUGAAGUGGCGAUAACCGGCGAGUUUGACGGACUCGGGGUCUUCGCUCCAACGCCGUCAAGCUAAGAUAAGAUAUGAUGAUGAUGCAAGUGUGUGGAUUGUAAUACCGCUGUAAGACUGUUUUUAAACCCCUGGGGCCUGAGACAGUUGUGCAUCCAACUUAAGCACUAGUGGUCUCCGUUUCAGCCAUUCCUGAGACCAUCCAAACAGUUAGGUCAGGCAUAAGAGGACAUCAAACGCCUGCCUGGAUCGCUUGGCUCCAUGCCGAAACCAGCUAGCUAAACAGUAAACACCUUUGGCGUCGUCGAUCGGGGGCUCACCCCUGCACAAAUACGGCAGUGCUGUUCGAUCUCCAUCCCACGCUGGCCGGACGCCCGUGAGGCGAUGAGUCGUGUCGAAAGCUUCGUGGAUCGGGCCGCUAGCUCCAGUUUUUCAGACGAGUGGCACGCUCACGUGUGCACGUACGAGUACAGCGAGCAGCGGCUGGAAUUUUGCAAUUCCUUCGGUUGGGUUGGGUGGUUUUGUGCGGGAUCGGCAAUGGCGACAACUGGAUGAGAGCGGUUUAUGUUGGCUUUGUGGGAACUGCUCUCAAGUGCAUUACAUUCAUCUUCUAAAGUAGCUAACCCAUCUUUGUGCUGGCUAAUUUUCAAGUACUUCACAGCCAACCACCUUGCUGAUGGUGAUUUCGCAGAGUUUGAACUUGAAAUUUCAAACUUGGAAAAAAAUACACGAAGAUCAUAUAUAUGAUUGUUUCCAGAAUAUCAUGCAGUUAUCUCGUCCUCAAAUGAACCAUUUUUUACAAAAAAGGACUUUAUCCUACAAUUACUACCAACUUAAAAAAAGGACUUCAUGUUACUAUUAUUAAUUGGAGGGUGGACACUCUAGAAAAACAAAGAAAUCUUAGAAAUUCUCACAAAAAGUCAAAAUAUCUAGCCAUCAAUCAGUAUGCUCAAAUCAUCAUAGCCAUUGGAUCUAUUUAUGUUUUCUAAAAAAUUACCCAUGUAUGCCAUUAUGAAAAUAGCCUAAAGUAACCCCCUAAAUCCAUGUAUAAAUUACCCACCUCUUCCAUCAUAUAAAAUAAACUAAAUAACCCCCUAAGCUUCAUUUAAAUUACCCACUUAUACCAUUAUAAACAAUGUUUCAAAUAACCCCCUAAAUUUUCAACUAAAUUGCCCACCACUAAUACUUAAAAAAUAACUUAGAGUAACCCUUAAAUUUGCAUGUAUAUUACUCACAUAUGACAUUAUUAAAAAUAACAUGAGGUAACCCUACUUUUGAAUCCAAAUCACCUUAAUUAAAAAUAUAUACCAAAUAUAUGAUUCUAAAUCAUUUAUUUCUUACACUUUGGUAUAUGAUAUAAUAAUUAAGGUAACCCUACUUUCGAAUCCAAAUCACCUUAAUUGAAAUAUAUACCAAUAUAUGAUUCUAACUCAUUUAGUUUUUAUGCUAUUGAUAUAUGAUAUAAUAAUUAAGGUAUAUACAUGUGAUGUGUGUGACCAUUUAUGAAGAUAUAGAGGAAAUGAUGAGAAUAUAGAUUUAUAUGUUAAAUUUGCAACUAAAUUUCCCACCACUAAUAGUGAAAAAAUAACUUAAAAAUAAAUUAAAGUGACCCCUUAAAUUUGCAUCUAUAUUACCCACAUAUGUCAUUAUUAAAAAAUAACAUGAGGUAACCCUACUUUUGAAUCCAAAUCACCUUAAUUACAAAUAUAUACUAAUAUAUGAUUCUAAAUUAUUUAUUUUUUACACUAUUGAUAUAUGAUAUAAUAAUUAAGGUAUAUACGCAUGAUGUGUGUCACCAUUUAUAUAAAUAUAGAGGAAGUGAUGACAACUUAUGGUCGGUAUGUGUCAUCGGUACGCGGUUGAGUUAACAUUAUGGCUUAAACUUAUGAUCCAUAGAUAAAUUCAAGCACAUACCGACGAUGCAAAUUGAAAAGUUAAUAAUUAUAAAUGUGGAUGAAAUAUUAUAGAGUAAUUACUAACUAAAAUCUAUCACAAUUAGAUGAAGAUAAUAAGUAUAUAUCUAUAUAAGCAUUGUGUUAGGAUAUUUAACAAAUGAGAGGUAGCUUAAGGUAAUAGUUUCGUAACAAUGGGGCUACAUUUUUUCCAUUGGAGAUUCCGCAUUAGUUCUCACGAGACACGCUAGGAAAAAAUCCUAGAAAUUCUCACUAAAAUCAAAAACAUCAAACAUCAAUCGUGUAAACUCUAAUAAUCAUAGUCAUUGGUCUAUAAUAUUUUAUAAAAGGUUACCUACCAAACAUAUUCUAAAAUAAACUCUAAUCCUAUAUCUAAAUUAUCGAGCUCUGUAAUUAUUAAAAACUAAUCUUAAGUAACCCCAUAAUCUUCAUCCAAUUUACUUAUGCAUAUCAUGAUAAAGUAUAACUUAAAAUGUUACUCUAAAUUUGUAUCUAAGUUACCCACGUAUGUUCUUAUUAAAAUAACCUAAAGUAAAUACCUAAAUCUUAAUCUAAUUAUCUUCAUGUGCAUCAUUCAAAAAAGUCCAAAAGUAAACAUGAUGAGUGUCAUUGUUAAUAUAGAAAUAUUAAGUUAAGGUAUAUACGCACGAUGAGUGUCACCAUGUAGACAAUCUUUACAUGUAUGUGGAGAUGCGAUACAAAAUGAACAAAAAAGUGUGAAUGUAGAUAAAAAGUGUAUAGAGUAAUUAAUAAUUAAAAAUAAUGAUAAGACAAAGAUAAGUAUACAUGUAUAUAAGAGUUAUGUUGAAAUAUUGAAAAAACUAAGAGAGUAGUAGGUAAACAAUUUCGAUUAUUAAUUAGGAGCUCAAUUUUUAAAUAAUUUUCAAAUAUGAUAAUUUUUUUAAAAUAUUAUCCCGUGCAGGAGCACGGGUUGAUGGACUAGGACAACUAAGGCUGAUCACUAGAUAUUUCUCCAAUUGAAACGGUGUUCAACAUCUGCAAAACCCUGCAAAGCACGGCAUUGUACAGACUAUUUUUAUCCAGAUUGGAUACAAAUUGACUUGACCAGCUCGCUACCCUAUCAAAGAUAACCUAUGAACGAAUCAUGCACACACACAUACAUUCUGGAAGCGCCAUCAUCACAAAGGUCCAAAUCGGAUCUGGAAUCGAAAAUCCAGCACCGUAGACCAUUCCUCGAGCUGAAUUUUAUCAUCAUCGAAACCACACGAGACGUCGCACAUCAGCCUGGAAUAUCUCUGUCCGGUUCUGAUGAAAAGUACUUUGGGAUUCGAGGCUGGACACGCCGCUACAAUCUUUGUCCAGCUCAGACGGCGACGCCGGCGCUGGGAGAGAAGAUGGAAACUGAAAAGUGGCAGUAACUGGCGAGUUUGACGGACUCAGGGUCUUCGCCCAACGGCGGUCAAGCUGAGAUAAGGUGUCUCAAUACGAGUGUGUGGAUGAUAACGGUGACGUAAAACUGCUUUUUAAACCCCUGGGGCCUCAGCCAGUUGAGCAUCCAGCUCAUAAUUCCAGUUCAAACACCCACUAGCAAGCAAAUAGAAGCAGAUUAGAAAGGCUGACGCACAGCAGAGGUACCAUACUCUCUCCCUCCCUUCCCUCCCUCCUGAUGGUUUUAACUAUCCUCUUUAUGCUGUUACCUUUUUAAGAUGGUUUUAGCUAGUUACUUGCUGCAACUCUGUAUGGUUUCUCAAAACUAGUACCCCUCCGUAGGUCAUUUUAAGUUUUUUUAUUUUUAUAGAUAUUAUCUAUGAAUUAUCUAUGAACAUAAAAAAUCAAAACCAUCUAUAAUUUGAAACGAAGGGAGUACUUCUUAGAAUUAGCUCUGGUUACAGCAUGAGCUUACGCUGCGUAAUUCAUCUAGUAGUACUUUAUACGCUGCCAAGUUUAUGCUUUAAUUUUGCAGGUGACAAUUAAUAUGCUCCUCAUGCGUCACUCGAUGUUGCUGGCGAAACUCGCCGUGCUUAUCGUAUUGCCUUUUUUGCUGCUGUGUUAUGGAGUUGGCAACGUUUACUGCUCGACAAUUCAUGAGAAUAGAGAAGAUCUGCGCUCAUUGCUCGACUUUAAGAAGCGGAUCAGUUCUGAUCCAAAUGGAGCCUUGAUGAGCAAUUGGACAACCAACACCCAUUUCUGCCAGUGGAAUGGUGUUAACUGCACUUCCACACCACCAUAUCGCGUCAGAGAGCUCAUCCUCACCGGGCUAAACUUGGGUGGCGAAAUAUCCUCCUCUCUUGGAAAUCUGACCUCCCUUAAUUAUCUUGAUCUAUCCAAUAAUAGCUUUCAUGGUCCCAUACCUCUUCUUAACAAACUCCAAAACCUAGAGUACCUUUUAUUAGGAAGCAACCUUUUGCAAGGUGUUAUUCCCGACGCACUUACAAAUUGUUCUAAUUUAGUUACACUAGAUCUCUCUGGAAACAACCUCAACGGUCUCAUUCCUCCUAGAAUAAGCUUUCUUACCAAACUAGCAUAUAUCAAACUUUACAGUAAUCAUGUCACUGGGGAGAUACCAGCAUCCCUCAGAAACAUCACAAAUUUACAACUAGUCCAUUUUUCAAAAAAUCAGCUCAAUGGUAGAAUUCCCGACGAGGUUAUGCAAAUGCCAAACUUAAUGGAGUUGCACCUAAACCAAAAUAACCUAUCAGGUAGUAUUCCUGAGGUUUGGCAAAUGCCAAAUAUAUUGGUAUUAGACCUAAGCGUAAAUAACCUUUCAGGUCGAAUCCCACGAGCUCUAUCUAAUGUAUCUUCUCUUCAGGGAUUGUCCUUGGCAUCAAAUAUGCUAGGCAGUACAUUACCAUCUAACAUUGGAGAUGCUCUACCGAAUCUCACGAUUCUAUA
RNAcentral lists this long non-coding RNA (52561 nucleotides) under Setaria italica (foxtail millet). RNAcentral describes it as "long non-coding RNA (SITA_LNC000559)". Lineage: Eukaryota; Viridiplantae; Streptophyta; Magnoliopsida; Poales; Poaceae. The record is from RNAcentral.